CCUCAUCAGGGUCCUCUUCGGUUUCUUCUUCCUCAAGUUCCUCUUGAAAUGUUUUUCCACAACCGGGCUGAGACUAUGUCUCAGUAAGUUCUACCCCCUAAGACCCGAUUAGUAAGAAAAUACGCCUUAGGGGCUACCUAAGCACAACCACACAACUUGAACAUGCAAUUGUCGAUUCGCAUACAUCCUUACCUAGUAUGCCAUAGCCUGCACGUUAUAAUUCAGCAUGAUACACGCAAUGCACAUGGCCAUUAGAUGAUGCAAUCAUCAAUCACAUGAGUCACGUCACAAGUGACCUUACCUGGCUAUUGCCACACCCUGCACGUCAUUGAUUCACAAGUGCCAUAAACGAUGUGCUUAACUCAUGCCUUUAAAUUAAUUUCAGCCACACAGGCACAAUACCCAACACACAGAAAUACAGCCUAAUAGGCUCGACAUUACACCACACAAGCACGUUCCAAGCCACACAGGCCUGAUGUUACGCCACACAUGCAUGAUCUAUUUUCGCCGCACAGGAAUGUUCUACACCACAUGAACAUGAUUAAGUAUCGCCACACAUGCGUGAUCAAAUAUUGCCACAAAAGCAUGUUCUACACCACACGAACAUGAUAAAUUAUCGCCACACAGGCAUGAUUAAUUAUCCCCACACAGGCAUGAUCAAUGUGAUAUAUAUUCAACAAUUUACGUGCAUUCUCUAAGACAUCCUAUAUGCCAAAGCGAUGUAAUAAUCGCCGAGCCACGUCACACGGCAUUUCUUCUCAUCUUUUAUCAUACCCGAUAAAAUAUCAUGCGUGGGCACACAAUUGGUCUUAGCCAAAAUAUAAUAUUUUCCUUUCCAUAACUCUUACAUUUUCUAUAGUCCACUAAAAUAAUUAUGGCAUUAUUAACCGAUGCCCAGUUAUUUUUCAACUAAUAACCAACCUUAUUCAAUUUAGGAAUAAAUCUCAAAUUCACAGAUAAUUCAAUUCAGCACCAAAUAAAGCUCAAUUAAAUAAACAGAUUGCGCCAUGACAAUCAGCAUAAGAUUCUGGUCGUUGACUAUCCCUGCCUAAUUUUCGAAAAAAUAAAUAAAUAAAUAAAUAAUUUCAAAAAUUAAUAAAUAAAUACUAAAAAUCCAAUUUAGGCUUGUAAUGCCUAAUUGGACGCCAGAAUGGAUCAAGAAAAAUCCCGAGAUGCAUUCAAUAAAUACGAGUAUGUCUCUACUUGCUAAUUACACAAAUCAAUUGCCUAAUAUGCAUCAUUAAGUCACUAAUUAAAUUACUCUAAACUAAUUUAACCACCUAAUUGGACUUAAUUAAAUCUAAUCGACCCUUAAGAAUCAUUAACCGACUAAUAAGGGAUUAGUGAGCAAAACUCACUUGAUUAACGUGCGAGUCGGAUCAAACCGACGGGAACGUUGCAGGGGACGUUUUUCUCCAAAGCGGGCCUAAAGUCCGAGGCCCGCAAGCACCUCAAAAUGGCCUCCAAAGCUUGCUGGAAACCCACUAUUUUUCUUGCUGUUCUUGGCUGGAAUUGAAGGGAAAUCAACUCGGUUUAGGUGGGAAUUGCUCGAGAAUGUAAGAAUAGGCCAAAUUGGGCCUAGAGGAGGACUCACGGGGGUUCAACGAGCUUGGGACAGCCCCGGGUGAGCUUCAACAGAAUCGGGACAGCAGCUGGGAGGUGAGAGGGUGGCGGCCAAGGGGCGGUGUGUGUGGGUGCUACGCACGGGGCGGCGGCGCGCAAACUGGCGACGAUGAGGCGGCGAUCCGGCAUGAGGCGGCUGCAGCUUCUUCUUUGCUGUUGGUUUUGUCUAAAAUGAAGAGAGAAUGGAGUGGAUGGCAAGAAGAAGGAGAGAAGGAAAGUAGUGUGGAGGAAGCUUGGCCUUGGUGGGUCCUUUGGCCAAUUUUUUUCCACCAAGUUGUCUCCCAAAUACUUGCCCAUCAAGCCAAUAAUCCAUGGCUGUCAUUGAUCCACCAAAUGGUCCAUUUUGCUAGGCCAUGGGGGGAGUUAUGAAUUUGACACAAAUCUUUCUCAAUUGGACACCGUUCCUCACUCAAUUCAAUUUCAUUUGGCCUUUAAAAAUUCAAUUGACAUCUCAAUGCCUCUAUUAUAAUUUUCCUCACCCAAUAAUCCAUCUUGCAUCUCAAAUUUGCAACUAAAAAUAAUCCUCGGCCUUGAUUGAACAAAAAGGUCAUAAACCGACUUUUUCCCAAAAAGUCUCGGUUGUUAGAAAAAUCCUCUGAGACUAAGUCGUGGGUCAUAGAAUUUAUUGUGACAUGACAGAAUCUUCAAUUUCUGAAAUCGGACUUGAAUUAGCGGUUAAUUUCCAUUCGGCACAUUUUUAGCGUGACCUAGGCUACCGGGUAGUUUUCAGAAAUUUUUAGGGCAAAUGACCCGUGGUCGAUUUUCUUCAAACCACUAUGAACCUACUCGACACAUUGGCGACUCUCAGUUGUCGUGAAAAUCUCGAAGGUUCAAAUACGAACAUAGGGCACCAAAACGACAAUAAAAUCAAAUUAGUGUCGGUCGAUGAGAAUUUCUCAAUUUAGUGGCAUCACCCACGAUCGGCCACACAUCUCAGUCGAACGGACCUAUCUUUGAUCUCAAAUCGAUUUUAUACUGUGUCGUAAUGAUCUCUAAAGAUGAGCACGGUCGAGAAGCCGAUUCUUGGUCAAAUUCUCCAAUCUAUUGCCUUAAAAUUUCUUAAUGGCUUCCCCAUAUAGUUUAGUUAUCUCAUUAGUGGCCAUCUCAGAGAAAAGCACUAUAGGCACAUCAAUGAAAUGUACGGUUUAUUUAGUAGAAAAUAGGAUUGAAAAUUUGGGAUGUCACAUGUGUUGCUGGGCUUGUUGCCGUGGAGAGAAUGCUGGUUCGGUGGAGUCUUGCUGGAGUGUGUUGACCAGGCAAAAUGGCAGAUGUGGACUUCGUCGGGGAAGCUAUCUCGACGGGAAAAUUAAGAACAAGCUGUAGGACAAUUGGGGGCAAAAGAUGGUGGAGAUGGCAGAACAUGUGCAGGGAAAAUGAAGGUGAAAGAGAAGCUAUCCAGGGGGCUGGCGGAGCGGGUGUAGGCAAGAGAGAAAAGGUGAGGGGCAGCUGGCAACGUGCGAAUAAAAGAGAGGAGGGAGAGUGGGGCUUCGGCAAGGAGACCAGAGGAUAAGUAUGACUCAAAAAGUCAAAGAAGUGGGGAAAGAUGGUGGGACACGACAUAGGAGCUGUCAGUUUGGGGGGGAAAACGUGGGAGUGAGAGAGAGAGAAAAAGGAAGGGAGAGACGUGCGGUCGAAGGGGGGGGGGGGGUGGGAAAGAAGUAAAAAAAAAAGGAAAUUCCCAUAACCAUAAUUCUUGGUCACACUUGCUCUUAUUUAAUCCAAUCUAGUCCCAAAAAAUCUCCAUGCCAAAAUACUUAAUCCUCACUUACUUUGUUGCACCAAAUUUCCCCCAAAUAACAAGUCUUGGGCAACAAAAACGGCUAUUUCCCUCAAUUCCGAAUUCUAUGUCUUUUUUUUUCCUCGGAAUCCAUUUACUGAACAAACCUCUCAGAUUGAGGUCCAAUUUCGUUGAAGAAAAAGCCUACACAACUUCCUUUCACCAAGUAGUUCACACAGAGGCCAAAUCUCUUCAAUUUGGCCAAUCCGAAUUUCCGUUCGUUUUUCGAAUCGUUCCGAAUCGACUUUUCGUAAAAAUCCUAAACUCACCGAAAAUUCCUCGAAAAAUGAGUCGAUGUUCCUAAAAUGGCUUGUGUCACGACAGAACUUUCAAUUUCUGAAAUUGGAUUCAAAUUCGCGGUUAAUUUCAAUCCGACAUGAUUUUAGCGUGACCUAGGCUACCGGGUAAUUUUCAUAAAUUUUUAAUGCAAAUGACCCUUGAUCGAUUCUCUUUGAGCCACAACGAACCUCUUUGACACUUUGGCAACUCUCAAUUGUCGUGAAAAUCUUGAUAUUUCAAUUACGGACACAGGGUACCAAAACGAUAGAAAAAUUAGUCUAGUAUCGGUCGACGAGAAUUUUGUAGUUUAGUGAAAUCACCCACGCUUAGCCACAUAUCCUAGUCGAACUGACAUAUCUCUGAUCUUUAAGCGAUUUUUAACUGUGCUGUAAUGAUCUUUGCAAAUGAGCAUGGUCGAGUAAUCGAUUUCUAUCUAUUGCAUUAAAAUUCUUUUAUGACUUCCUCAGAUAGUCUAGUUAUCUCAGGAGUGAUCAGCUCUGAAAAUAACACUAUAGAUGCGUCGAUGAAAGGCCCGAUUAAUUUAAUUGAAAGCAGAACGGAAAAAUUCAAUAUGUCACAUUUUGGAAGUCUAAUUGAGGGGAGGCUUACACAACUAAAACUAGUUGUACAAAAAUUCAAUCCAAUAAAUUACUUUUUUUAUGUCAAACAACUUGAAUUAGUGUUCUGGACAAAGAAACAAAGUAAUGGCGAGAGUAGCACGUCGAGAGUAGCACGUGACUUUUCCUGCCAAGACUUUCAUUAAUUAUUUCUUCAACUAGUUGGUGCGAGUCUGAAAUUUUUUUUUUCCCUUUUAUUUUUAUUUUUUAUUUUUUUAUAUACAUGAAGGAAGGCCGCAGGUGACUUCCAGGCAAUAGAGCUUAGUAACAAUGUAAUAAUAAUAUAUAUUUCUGAGACCACGUCCGAGGACGACGACUUCCAUCAGUUCUUUCCUAUUUAGUGCGAUCCGUGUGGCCCUUCUUUUAAGCUUAUGAAGGAAGGCUGCAAGUGACUUCCAGGCAAAGGAUUAUUUCCUCAACUGAGCGAUCUCACUCUGUUUGCGUGGGGGCUUUUAGGCCAAGGAGCAAACGGGAAAAGGUAAGGAAAGUUCCAUUAGAUGUUUGCGUGGGGAAGAGCUUCAUUUUUUAGUUGGACUGUUGUUUCCAAGACCAAACAGACUUGCCUAUUUGUAGGCUCGUUUCGACUGUCGUUCUUCAGUUAAUUUCUCUGAACAUUGUCUCUGCUUGUUCUUUUCGCAUGCUGAAUAUUUUAUUAGCCAUUAUUUUUAACUAUCACAAAUUAAGCUAGAGAUCACCAACUACAACUACCAACUAGAGACUUGAAUCUUACAGAAGUCUAGCAGUUUCUAGAAAUUUGAUCAAGACGUCCGUAGCUUUAUCAAGUUGUUUCAAGGAUCAGACUCAAGACUUCCCGAGUCACCCCGCAGACUCGAUUCUGAGAUCAAUAACUCCAUUGUCCUCUUGGAAUGAACAGAAAUAGUGAGGCAGAAGAGACGGUGGCACCCGCGGCGACAGCGAUGGAGGUGGCGACAGCAGCUCCGGCAAGCAGCAGUCAUGAUGGUGGAUCGGAGAGGGGCCUGAUGGCGGUGGCAACGGCAGCUCUAACGAGCAAUAGCCAUGAUGGCAGAUUGGGGAGGACCCAUGAGGUAUUCCUGAGUUUUAGAGGACCUGACACCCGUUUAACCAUUGUGGAUUCCCUGUACAAAGCCAUUGAACAUGCAGCAAUCAGUGUUUUCAAAGAUGACGAAGAGCUCCGAGUCGGUAAAGAGAUUGGAGGUAAUCUUAUGCAAGCAAUCAAUGAAUCCAGAAUUUACAUCCCGAUUUUCUCCAAAAACUACGCUUCAAGUAAGUGGUGCCUCCGUGAGCUCGCACACAUAAUGAAGUUAUCGAGAGACGACAUUGAGAAAGUGAUACUCCCUAUAUUCUAUGAUGUGGAUGCGGAUGAUGUUAAGCUUAAGACUGAAUUAUAUAGGACAGCCCUCCAAAUUCACGAGAGUGACUCUGGGAAGGAUAUGGCAAAGCAGUGGGAGGAGGCUUUAAGAGAGGUUGCUGGAAUUAAAGGAUGGAAUCUAAAAGAUUACGGGUAUUGUUAGCUUCUUCCAUUAAGUUUAUUUUCAUUUCGUCAAUUUCGAAAUUAUAUUCUAUGAUACUUUUUCCAGAGUAAUAACUUUCAGUUUGCUGCUGUCGAAUCUUAUAUGAUGUAUGGUUGAUCGGCCGCAGUGAGGGAGGCAGAAAUUUUGCUCAGGGAGCAAGGUUUCUUGCAUAAAUUGACUUUUCACUUUUAAUCCCAAGUUUUGAUAACAAUAGUAUCAAGAUAUGUCAACUUAAUUAAUCAAUCAUUAAUGCAAAAAGAAUAUUUAUGAAAAUCUAAGAGUUGAUGAAAUAAUAAGACAACAUAUGUGUGAAAAAUAAAAAUUUAAAUCUCUUAACUUUGCAGCUCACUUUUCGGCUAGCAAAAUGCUUUUAAAAAAACUUCGGUCAUUUCUCUUGCUUUGACCUAUUCACGGCCCCUGAUUGUACUUAGGGCACCACAGGGUACGGAUUUCCUUUGCCUUGUGACCAUCCUAGUUUUAAAGUUGUCAACUUUUAUAUGAAAGUACUUAUCUUAAUUUGUGUCUUACCAACUUCUUUUCGAUUAACUAAUUUUAGGUUACCAGCGUUUAUUUAAGUCAUUUAUUAAGUUUAAUUGAUUGUUUGCCGAUUUACAAAUUUUAUAGAAUCUACCAUCUCUUAUUUGAAUUGUUUACUUCACAUUUCAAAGUUACCAAUACUUGAAACAAAUCAAUAACCCUAAUGUGAGUUUCAUACUAACGAAUCUCUAAUUAAGUUACUAGCUAAUUUAAGUUACCCAUUCCUAUGUGAACCACUUAUCAAUAUUUAUAUUUUGUUGAAAAUUCCACCUUUUGUAACAAACUUUUGUUAUCAACGGACCCACUUUUAUUAGCAUAGUUCACAAACAUUCUGAGGUUAGGAACUCAAUUAUCAAAUUACCAAGCAUGUAAUUUGAGUUACUUACCAACUUAUUCUGAUUAAAUUACCAACAAAUUUAAUGUGACUGAUGAAAUCACUAAGUUAAACCAGUUGGUAGCUUAUUCAGAAAAAUGAUUGUUGGCAACUCAAAUGAAGGCUGAUAAAUACUCUGAAAGUGUUCCUCAUAUUUUCGGUUACUACCCUAUUACUCGGGUACAUUAAGAAAAAUGCUUUUGAGCUUUUAUUCUUGUUUUUUAAAUUCCAGGUAACUGCCUAGUGAGAAAAUCUUUUUCUUUUAUGUCAAUCUUCAAACUCAUCUUUAGUGGCUGAAGAGAUAAAAAAGACCGGGUUCACCGAGGAAUUCUAGUCAAAGCCCAAUUAGACCUUCGUCAUGAAAUAACCUUUUUCCUACCAUUAACCAGACCAAAGAGUCCUGACGGGAGCUGCUUUUUUUUUUUUUUUUGGUGGCAAACGGCUCGCAGCAUGAAUGAUCACUCAUUUCAUGUUGGUUGCUUUCAAAGUCAAUUACUUUAAAAUUUGAUGAUAACCAUCUAGUGACACGUUAUGCAGGCAUAGAUUCCAUAUGUGAUUUUUUUUAAUCUGACAUGAUUGCAUGUUAUGUAUGUGGCAGCCUAUAUAAACUUACAAACCUCAUGGUGGAAGAGGUUUCAAAUUUGCUAUGGACAAGACGAAGAGACAUGUCUAAUCAUUUGGUGGGAAUUAAAGAUCGAAUGGAUCACAUUAUGAAGCUAUUAGAUGUAGGAGCUUUUGAUGUACGAUUUAUUGUGAUUCAUGGUAUGGGUGGCAUUGGAAAAACGACACUAGCCGAGGCCGUCUUCAAGCAAAUCUACCCUCAAUUUCGGGAUCAUUGCUGUUUUCUCAAAGAUGUUCGAACUCAUGAUAUAAUAGGUUUACAAAAGAAAUUGCUGUUUGACAUUCUCAAUCUUAGUUGCACAAACCCCUUCUUCAUUGAUGAAGUGAUCAAGACAAGGUUUCUUGGCAAGAAAGUCCUCGUUGUUCUUGAUGACAUUGACAACUGGGACCAAAUCAUGAGACUUGUAGGCGAGCCCAACUGGUUUGGUGGGGGUAGUAGAAUCAUCAUAACAACAAGGAAUAUUGAAUUCCUGGUAAAGGAAGGUGAGGAUGACAAUCUCCCAAUCUCUAAUAGCGGACAAUUUUCAUUCUACGAUAUGCCGGAGAUGAAUUCACAUGAUGCUCUUCAACUUUUCUAUGCGCGUGCCUUGGGACAUGCCAAGCCUCUGCCUAGUUGCAUGGAUAUCACAAAAAAGCUAAUCAAUGCACUAGGAGGACUUCCAUUGGCUCUCAAUGUCGUAGGUUCCACGCUCCGUGGAAAAUGCCGAAGAACAUGGGAAGACACUCUAUGUAAGUUAAAGAAGGUGAUGAAUGAGGAUGUCAAGAAGAAGUUGAUGAUAAGCUACGAAGCAUUGGGAACUAAUCAACGGCAAAUUUUUCUUGAUAUCGCAUGUUUCUGCUUCAACAAAGAGAAAACAACUGCAGUUAAAUAUUGGGAUGCAAUUUUUGGGUAUCCUACCGAAAUUGAGGUCAAUAGCCUUAAACGUAUGUCUCUGAUAAAAAUAUCGAACGAUAAUAAACUAUGGAUGCACGACCAACUUAGAGACCUUGGAAGGAGUAUCAUCCAUCCAGAAAGUGGCGAAAUCCAUAUGAAGGGUAGCAGAUUGUGGUCUCCCAAGGAUGCCUUCCGUGUAGUGCAGACAAAAACGGUAAUCUUUACCUCUAAAUGUUUUCCAGUGCAUCCAUUAGCAUCACCACCUUUUUUUUUUCAUCUAAUUUCAAUUCAAAGUGACAUGUACUCAUUGGUUGGUACUUUUGUUUUAUAGGGAACCAAAGACAUAGUGGCGCUCAAUCUUGGUACACCCGACUCCAAUAAGACAUAUAGAUUUAAGCACAAGCAAUUUGUGGGCUUGGUCAACCUUAGGUUCCUUCAAUUGGACCAUGGAAACUUUGAAGGAGACUUUAAGAAUGUUUUCUUUGAUUUGAGAUGGCUCUCUUGGAGCAAUUGCCCAUCAAAAUUCCGUGCUAGCAACUUUGGGUUGAAGAAUUUAACGAUUCUCAUGCUAUCUGGGAAUAACAUUACUGAAGAUUGGGGAGGGUGGUGUCAAAUCAUGGUAUGAUCUCACGACAUCCUUUUGCAUUAUAUUUACUCUUCCUCUUUUCUAAGUGUCUACUCAAUUACUUUAUAGGUAGCAAAACAAUUGAAAAUCCUACAGCUCGAGGAUUGUCCAUUCCUUAGAAAGACACCCAAGUUCUUUGCAAUCUCGCAAUUGGAGAAAUUGAUUCUUAGAUGCCUUCGACUAAGGAAGAUUGACAAGUCCAUCGGCAAUCUAAAACAUCUUGAUUACCUAGAGAUAAAGAGUGAAGCUAUUGAGUCACUACCGGAGUCCAUCGGCGGUCUAAAAUCUUUGACAGUGCUAAGAAUAGAUUGGACACUCUCAAUGAUGCCUCACUCGAUUGGUAAUUUAGCAAAGGUGAAGUCUCUAAUCUUGUCACGUAGGGAACUUCAAAAGCUUCCCAACUCUAUCGGACAAUUGGAGUCACUACAUGAGCUAGAUGUCCAAUUUUUAAAAAUUAGUGAAUUGCCUCAUUCUAUUGGAAAUCUUGAAAGGUUGAAAGUUUUACGCAUCUCACAUUGCCCGCUAGAAAAGCUACCAGACUCAAUUGGGAGGCUCCAAUCAUUGGUCAAGUUGGAUUUGAGCAAGUCAAGAAUCAGGAUCUUAUCUGAUUGUAUUGGAUAUUUAAAAAAGUUGAAGGUACUAAAUCUUAAUGAUAGCCACAUAAGUGAAUUUCCAAAAACCAUAGGAAUGUUGGAAAAUCUAGAAGAGUUAUGUGCCUGCUCUGAACAUUUGGUGGUGGAAAUUCCAAGUGAAAUCGGGGCACUAUCCUCAUUGAAAAUUCUAGACUUAUCCCGUGGCCGCUUUAGUGGAUUGCCAACAACCAUCAAUCAGCUUACAAAUCUCCAAGAACUUAAUUUAUGGGGCUGUGAUUCGAUCCAACAGCUACCGGAGCUUCCCAAGAGCCUAAAGUCUUUAGCCCUUUCAUCGGAUUCACUGACCAUGAUCCCCAACUGUUCAAACCUAACCAAUUUAGUUGACCUUGAGAUAAACGGAAAUUCAAUGCAAGAACCCAACACAGAGGGGAUCAUGAGACUACCUGCUCUAAGACGAAUGACCCUGUUCAUUGGAAAAAUGGCCUUGCCUCCAACCGAUUUCAGUUCCCUCUCUCAACUACAACACCUCAACAUAAGUUGUGCCGAGCCCCAAUCUCUUAUCGGGCUCCCAUCCAGCCUUCGAGAGUUGAGGUUAAAGGAUGUCCAAUCACCAAUAGAUUGGUCAGUCUUUUCCAACUUGGAGAAUUUGUCAGGCUUGUCUUUUGUAUAAUUUUUGUUUCCUGCAGUUCCAUAGAUUGAAUUGGGAUUGUCUGAUGCUGCACAAUCAAAGAUCACUGUCAACUUUGCUCCACAUCUGAUGCCAAUGGUUAUAGUUGCAAUUUUCAAGCAUUCCCAUUUUUAAAGUAGAAGUUCUGCUUCUCUAUCCAUAAUUAUUAACUUUUUUCAUCUAUUUAUGUAGAGUCCUGGAAUAUAGUCAAUUAUUCCUGUUGAAAUGUCUUUGGGUGUGACGGUGAGGAUCUAUACAAGCAACUUAAAGUUGUUUGCUAGCCAAACUUUAUAAGUCCUAUUCCGCUUAGGCAUUCAAUGGCUAAAUGUAUUGAGCAUUAACCUUAGCUUUUGUUUGUUGAAAUAUUUUUCAGUAUUCAUAAUUAGCUUAAUCAAAGGACAUAAUUUAUUUCAUAGAUCUUGGUAAGUCAAUCGAGUAGUGGACAUCUUGGGGGACUAAACCUUGAAAGAUUUGCAACUUCCUCUAGUAUUCUCGAGUGUACUUCCCACAUACUUCAUGUCACGCCCCAAACCUCGGGCACGCAACAACCCCUUCCUUGGUCGAUAGAAAGUCAUGUCCUAAGACUCAUCGCCGACCCUUUCAUUUUUAAUCUUUCAUUAUGCGCAAGCGGAAAACAAACCAUCUCCCCAUCAAAAGACAAUCAAGCAAUCAAACAGGGAUAGUGAGAUGAACAGUAGAAACAUAACAUCUACUCAUAUAUAUACAUUUUUACAUUGGAUUAACCUAUGGAGGAUCGCUUCCGAUCUAUAAGUCCAUUAGAGGGGUUGAUCCAACCUCUAAGCCAUACCAAAAAGAAACUAGGCUAGGCUAAUCCAUUAUACACAAAAAUACCCCUCGGGUUCGGCCCUACAAUCACUCGGAUCCAGCGGACUCAGACUCCGUCGAUUCAAAGCUGGAGCCAUACGUGUCUGUCACUAGUGAAGCGGGGCCAGGAUUCUCCACUGCAUCGUCAAGAGGGUCUAGCUCCAUGGGAUCCCAGUCAGCGUCCUCGAGGCCCCUACCCGGUGGCCCGUCAAAACCUCUCAGAGGACUUAUCAACAAAUCGCCGUCCCUAAUGAACCACGCCAGGAACCUAUGGGGUAUCCAUUGCCCUAGUCCCUCAUCUACUCAUACAGUAGAGAGAUACUUCUCGUACAGAUGUGCCCAACCCGGGAAGCGGUGGCGCGUUAUGACAGUAUCCCAGUAGGGAUACCGAACCUCAUUGGCGGAAGUGCCAUCCUAAGGACUUGAAAGUGGUUAUCCAAUAACCAGUGAGAUAAAAUCUCAGCGAGUCCUCCCCUAAGCCCCUGAUGAGAACACUAACUCAACUUAGGGUAUCUCUCCAGAACCACCCCACAAACUUACCACGACUAACAACCAACAACCAACAAAUCACAAUAGUGACGGUCAACCACAAUCACAUAGUAAGUUCGCAUGCAACCUUACCCGGUAUGCCAUACCCUACAUGUUGAAUCUCAGCACAAUACACGCAAUACACAUGGCCAUUAAACGAUGCAGUUCAUCAAUUACAUACGAGUCGCUUCACAAGCGAUCUCACCUAGCUAUUGCCACACCCUACACGUUAUCGAUUCAUGUGUGUAUGCUAUAAAUGAUGUGCUCAACUCAUGCAUAGUCAAAACCAAUGAUGCCAUGAUUCUCAUACACUCUUGCACAUUAGUGCACCACCUAUCAUGCAUCAAUCGAUCACAUGGGUCCCAAUUAUAAGGUAAAAUUAUUAUGACCUCAUAACAAGGUCCAAUUCUCUCAACACUCACUCGUGUCCCACUUAUUAAUGACCUCAACACUCAUGCGUGCUCCAGAUAUUAAUGACCUUCCGGUCAUGGCUAACUUUCCAGUAAUCAGUCAUCCAACUCCUGCCAGGCUACCGAUAAAAAUCGAGCUUUGUCUUGGCCUGUCGGGCACGGCUACAUCGAGAACUUCCAUGCAGACGGUAUCCCAAAGAGGGACAUCGGUCUAGAAUCUAUUGCGAUCGGCUUCCAACUCCCGUUAGGUAUCGCCCCCAAACUUCCAUUGGGUGACGGUUCAAACUUAGCGAUCGUGCAAACAUACCUCCUCAAAGCCUUCUCUCAUAAAGGCAAUCCAUAUCCAAUGCCCUUGGACAAUCCAUUAUUCCCUUCUUCUUUUUUUUAUGAAAAUCCCUCAAUUCAUGCGGAUGCCCAUGCAUUUAUACACUCAAAUCACCUCAUAAGAUCAAAACGCAUGAAAUUGGACAACUUUUCAUUCUCGGGUGAACAGUGCACGUGAAUAGUGUUUUUGUGAACAACGUAUCCUGAACAGUGCUUCGUGAACAGUGUUUUGUGAACAGUGUUGUGUGAAUAGUGAAUUUCCAGAAUUAAAUAACUAAUAAAUUAAAUCUAAAAGUCAUUAAAAACACUAAUUAAAGCAAGCAAUUAAUCAAUGAUUGAUUUGCAUAAUUUAAGUCAAUGCAAAUAUGUGCCAAAAAAAUUAAAUACAAUCCCAAUGGAUUCCUUUGCCUAUUUCUUCUCCCUUCUUGUUUCCCGAUUUGAGGCGCAUGUAUGAUAAGCCAAAUUUUUAAGUGAAGUUAAUCAUCAAUACUGAUAAAAAAAAUUCACUUAUGUCUGCUUUACAUCUAUACAAUCUAAUUAUAUUAGAUUCUCAAACUCAGUGCCCACUUUGAAUAUGACAUAAUAACAUGUUCAGGACAUGAUGACAUUAUUAAAAUGUUAAAUAUGGUGUCAACUACUCUAGGAAGAGAAUUAAGAUGUAAAAUUACCCCAUUAACUAUAGAGAAUCUCAUGUUAAAAAACUUUUAGAGAAUCUCAUUUCCGUAUCUAUUCCAUCAUAUUUUAUAUUUAUUUAUUCAAAUAAUAUUGACAAUCGAAUACACCUUUUUGAAUUGUCACGCCCCGAUCCUUGAGCGUGUGCCCAUCCCUCGGUGGUCGAUUAAAAUGUGACGUCCCAAGACGCGUCACCGACCCAUUCAUUUUAAUGCACAUGCGAAGCGAAUAAAUAAAUCCCCAUACAACACAAAGAUGGGAUAGAAAAGCAGGGCCACGAUUUUAAAAACCACAACACACCUUUAUACAUAGCAGACUAGGUCAUUUAUAAUACUAGUCUAUAUUCACAAGUAUAUAAAGGCAGAAGGGCUACAAGUUCUCUAAGCGUUCGAACCCUUAGCCGAAGACUCUGGUGUCUCAUGGGGACUGGGAGGGUCAGCUGUACCCUCGCCAAAAGCGAUCUCUAACACAGACAUAGGGAUCUCAAACUCCGAUAGGGGACCUUCUCUGGGUCCAUCUCACCCGCGGUGAUACCAUGAUUUGAAUUGAUGGGGUACCCUCCGGGGUAGACUUGCAUCAACCUAGACAAUGGAUCUCAUGAGUUCAUAGACCCAGGCUCCUUGGCCACCAGGAAGAGAAAUCAGAGAGACCUGUUUGGUGACCUUCUUGGGCUAGCCAAAAUGUUCAGGAGGAACCACCAUCUAAGGACCUAAAAAUGUCAGCGCGCGAUGGGGUGAGACGAUGUUUCAGCAAGUUCACCCCCUAAAUUUCGACUAGGAAGGAAAUACGCCUAAAGGCUGCCUAUGCACACUCACAAGAUAGAAGACUUACCUCGCCUCAAUUCCAUCCUACAAGUCAGUAUAGUUCAUGAUUUCAACCAAUCCAUUCAAUUCAAAUCAAACCAUCGAUCAAUCAGUCAAUUAGCUCAAUUCAAUACCAACAAUACUAUCUAUAAGUUCAACACCAUAUAUCAAUCCUUUUGAUACCACAACUACUCAUACAAGCUGCAAUAUAUGGUUAUAGCUCACUCAAGCUGAUAUAGAUAGAUAGUAGCUCGCUCAAGCUAAUAGGUAUAUAGAUUGUGUGUGUGUGUGUGUGUGUGUAUCGUGCUCCCACAAGCUGAUUAAACCGAUCUAACCACCUCACAUGCACAAAUGAAUAUUUAAAUUGCUAAUCCGUUCUAACUUACUAUUUAAACCAUACUUAGCAUAAAAUAAUCAACCUUUAAGCAUCAUUAACUCCCUAAGCAGAGUUUAGUGAGUAAACUCACCGGUUUAGCGAUUCGGUGAGUCCACGACGACGGCAACGCGGAGACGGGCGACAAACUCCGAAGCGGCGAUACCCUACGAGGCUCGGAUGUGUCCUAAAACAGGCCUUGAAGCCCACGAAGGCUUGCUGGCCUGCGGUUAUGCUCUUGGGCCAAGAGAGAUGGCAUAGGGCUCGGCUUGGGCUGGAAACAGCCAGGCGGGCUGCUAGGCGGGUGAGCGGAGUAGGCGGAGCUGAACGGCGGUGGAUGCUAGUUCAGACGGUGGCUUAGGGCUUUGACGGUGACCUGAGGAGGCUCGGGAGGAGCGGCACGGCGACGGAAUAGGCGGGAUGACGCGGCAGUGGCGCGGGCUCACGCGGGGGUGCGACACGUGCGAGCGGAGAGUGGCAGCUGUCUGGCAAGCGUGCAAAGGCAGGAGGUGGCUGGCUCGGUUUUUCUGAAACUUUAGGAGCCCAAAAAUGGCCUAUAAUGGAGAAAGCACUCUGCUGAAGACGAAGAAGAAGAAGACAGUUGCCCAAGUGGAGGGUCCCAAGGCCAAAGUAUCAUCUAGUUUGAUCAUUAGAUGGCCCCUCACCUUGUCUGCCCCAUCCUCAGCCAAAACAUAGCCAACAAGCUUCUCUAGGAAGCCAUUAAAGUGGUCCAAAAGUCCCUCCCCCCAUGGCCUACAAAUUUGUAACAUUUUCCCCCCAGAUUGGAUUCAAUUUCUCUCCAAAUGGACUUAAACCGGUCCCAAUAAAAUCCACCAAGGUAUCCUCGACCAAAUUGACAUUUUUCCUUGCCAAUAGAACCAACUUGCAUCCCAAAAAAGCGAUAAAAAACGUUCCCCUGAAUUUUCCGGAUAAAAACGGCCCUAUUUUGAAUUUUCACCAAAAAUCUCGAUUUGUAGAAAAAUCUUCAGAGGACAAGUCGAUGUUCCUAAAAUAAAUUGUGACAUGGCAGAACUUUUAAUUUUUGAAAUCAGAUUUAAAUUCGCGAUUAAUUUCAAUCUGGUGCAACUUUAACGUGACCUAACCUACUGAGUAGCUUUUAGGAAUUUUUUGUGCAAUUGAACUGUGGUCAAUUUAUUGCAAGCCACAAUGUACAUCUUUGACACAUUGGCAACUCUCAGUUGUCGUGAAAAUCUCAGGGUUUCAAGUACGGGCACAGGGUACCAAAAUGACAGAAAAAUCGGUUUAGUGCCGAUCAACGAGAAUUUUGCAAUCAGGUGGAAUCACCCACACUUGAUCACAUAUCUCAUUCGAACCAACCUAUCUUUGAUCUCUAAUCGAUUUUUAACUGUGUCGUAAUGACUCUUGCAUACAAGCAUGGUUGAGCAGUCAGUUUCUAGUUGAAUUCUCAAAUCUAUUACGUUAAAAUCCCUUAACGGCUUCACUUGAUAAUUUAGUUAUCUCGUGAGUGAUCAGCUCAGAGAAUAGAACUAUAAGCGCGUCGAUGAAAAGCUCGAUUCAUUCAAUUGAAAAAAAAAACUUGAAAUUCAGGAUGUCACAUUAAUGGUAUCAAAGAUUCAAAGCCAUCCAUUAGAGUCAUCAUUACCUGGAUUAAGGGACAAAGUACACCCCAAGUGUCAAAACUUGGUAUGGAGGGAUAUUUAAGUGCCAAAAGUUAAGAAAGUGACACUCAAGUGCCGAAAUCGGAGCAAAAUGAAUCAUUUAAGUGUCAAUCCGGCCAAAAUGCCAAUGUGGCGAUUUUUUGACGAAGCCAAUGAAAAAUGGCGUCAUUUUGCACGUUGACGUGGCUAGAUAAUAUAAAAAUGAUAUCGUUUUGGUGCUGACGUGGUAAAAAUAAUUAAUAUAAAAAUUAAUUAAAUUAAAUUUUAAACUAAAUUUAUUUAAAAACAUUUAAAAAUAAAAUAAAAAUAUUAAAAAACUAAAAAUUAAAAAAGAAAAAAGAAAAGAGAAAAGAGAGGAAACCGGCUGAGGGCUGAGCCCUCGCUGCCGCCACCUCCCUGCUGCCGCCAAAAGGGCCGGCGGUAGAGGGGGGAGGGUCGCGGCCCUCGCCCAGCUCCGACAGGUGUCGAUGGCCCUCGCCCAGCCAGGCCAAGGGCCGCCAGUCGCUGGGGCUGCCUGCCUCUCUCUCUGUUUUUUUAUUUAAUUUUUUGUUAAUUUUUAGUUUUUUAAUAUUUUUUAUUUUUAAAAUGUUUUGAAUAAAUUUAGUUUUAAAUUAAAUUUAAUUAAUUUUUAAUUAAUUUUUUUUUACCAUGUCAGCACCAAAAUGACUUUUUUUUUGUAUUGUCUAGCUAUGUUAGCGUACAAAACGACGUCGUUUUGCAUUGGCUUCGCCGGAAAAUCGCCACGUCAGCAUUUUGCCCGAAUUUUGUCUGAAUUGGCACUUAAGUGAUUCAUUUUGCUCCGAUUUUGGCAUUUAAGAGUACUUUCCUAACUUUUGGCACUUAAGUGUCUCUUCAUGCCAAGUUUUGGCACUUGGGGUGUACUUUGUCCCAGGAUUAAGUUCUUGAUUUUGGCAAAAAAUAGUCGGUUUAACCAUGAUUGACUAAAGCUUGGCUUGGCAUUAGAAAGAAAGAAAAAUAUGCUAACAAAGAAAAGAAAGUAUAUUAAAGGAAAAAAUUAGAAACUCUUUGGUCUUACAUGGAUGCUUCUUCAAUUAUCCGACAAAUCAUUAUAAGAGGGCCAGUAACCAUUUGAUCACAAAAUAAGGGAUCUCAAUUCUUCAUUCAAAUAUUUCAAGUUGUUACAAAUUAUGACAGUUUGCAUUAGAAAUUUUAAUAAAUUUCACAUACUUACAAUGCACUACGGAUUGAAUCAAUCGAUCAAUGAAUCAUAAAAGGGAAAUACUUGCAUGUAUUAUGUCAACCCACUCAAGUCACUCAAAUGCGAUUAGUAUUUUUUUGGUUCCUAAUUAUACCCAAUAACUCACAAUAUUUAGCCCUCACAAUCUCUUGUAAAAUAAUAUAUCAAUCUCACAAAAAAAUUCACACAAGGUUGUUGGGUUUAAAACAUUUUUUGAAUGGCCUCGGAAUGUAAUUAGUCGACGAUGACCCUCUGUACAUUCAUGCCACAAGAAGUGCCACUCCCUCAAACGGCCUUUGAAGACCGAAAGAAAGCCAACAUAGAUCUUUCUAUAUAUUCAUCAAGAAACCUUGUUUUUCCCCGACUCCGACACGAAGAUGAACUUCAGCGUUUUGCAUCCUAAUUUGACCCGAGCUGUCCAAGUUAACAACGAGUCCAAUUCGGAUUUUCCUCAUUGUUGCAACAUCCAGGUCUUCGAACAUUCCAGGACCUGCAUAAUAAUGACAGGAUCGAUGCAAAUGUAGUAUCUCACUCAUAAUGCAAGGACGUGCGAUCAUCAAUUUUCAUAUCUCAAAUCAACAUUAAAAAAUUCAAUAAAUGACAUUCGCUGCAUGAAUGCCAACUAUAUUUCAAAAAAACGAAGUUGGUUUCAUCGAAAAAUAAAUUAUCAUCAAACAAAUAUAACAUCAUUGGAUAGCUUCAACAAAGCCGUGAAUGAUGCACAUUUUGCUAGAUUGGAUUGGAAUCUCAAUUUAUAGACAAAGGAUUCCGAUGAUAUAAAUGAGGAGGGUAAUACUUCAAAUGAUAAUGUAAUAUUUGAUAUGACACAUUUACGUAAUCAAAUAACUAUGAAUUUAGGAAAAAGUUAAGAAUGUUUCUAAUUUUUAAGGAUAAUGAAUUUUUUUCCUCGAAGCAUAUAUUACUAUGUUUAUUGUAAUAAAAGUAUUCUCCUCAAAAUUGAGAAAGAGAGUAUGUGAAUUUUUUUCAUUUGAUAUUUUUUAGCAAAAGAAGAAAUUUUAAUUUUAAUAAAAUUGUUUAUACAACAUCUUUAACAUUGUUGUCAAAUAUAAAUUUAAAAGGUCACAAACAUUAUUUUUUUUUUAACUUUAAACAAAUAAAAAUUGAAAAGCUUAGAUUAAUCAUCAAAUGGGCUUUUCAAAUGCGGCUUAUACCAAAUAGAAUUUCUCUCAAAGUUACUUCUCAAAGUAGAAUUUACCAAACAGUCGUUUCAUUUCCCCCAAAGCCCUUUACACUAAACUAUUUUGUAUUUCCCCAAUGACCUUUCAAAAUGCUUAAUCAAACGCACCAUAAGACUUAUCUUUGGGUAUCAUUUACCAUAACCUUUCUAAGGCAUCCUCAUCCUCUUUUUUUUUUUUUUUUUCCGUUCACUAAUUAGGAAGAUAUUGGGUGGAUUCAAUUAAUUAUAUUAAUAUGAUUCCAUAUAAUUAGUCAGUAAAAGUGGCAACCAUUAGGCAACGUUGAAGUUUUGCUGAGUGUAUGCUUUAAUUCCCUUGUGCGGCUUCCUUUGGCCAGUGAUAUGUACUUAGAUGCUAUUGCUCAUAUGAUAGAAGGAUUCACUGGAGGGGAUCUUCAAGCUCUUCUUUUAGAUGCACAGCCUCAAGCUGUUCACGAUCUUAUCGACAGUAGUGAAGGCAAUCAGCAUGGGAAAAAACCAAUUAUAACCGACUCUCUUCUAAAGUCCGUUGCUUUAAAGGCAAGGCUGUCAGUCUCAAAUGCCGAGAAGAGAAGACUUCAUAGAAAUUCUUUUCAUUCGUCGAAUUCUAUCAUCUAUCCCCACAACAAGAAUUGUGCAUCUCCAAUCAGAAUUUCAACUGCAGAUUAUGAUAGUGGCUUAUUAUGCAUCUGUUGGAGUUAAUCCCGGCAAUAAUCUCAUUCUCGUAUAGGAACACGACAUCUAUGGAACAAUUCAUUAGGUGAAUUUGCAACUUCCAAUCACAAAUUUUGAGUAGUCGCGACAUUUUGGCAGGAGCUGCUAUUUUCACAACUUUUUUGGUUUAGAGCACCUUAUUCAAAGUGAUGAGACAAAUUGUGGGCUAAAGAUUUGGCUAUGAAGGACAAUGGAAAAUUAUGAGCCUGAGUAAUUCCGAUGAAAUCGUUAGCACUAUGUUGUGUAAGAGUUUUCUUUAUGUGGGCUACAUUAAUUGAAAUUGUAAUUACCGUUUUACAGCGUUAGUCUAAUAAGGUAAGGCAUAAGGUUUUUUUAAUGGUCGAAUAUGGGCCUAGCAUUGUGUGGGCUCAGUUGGGCCCUACCCGGCCCGUGAUGAGAGGGCCCAUCCAAAACUCUAUAAAUAGCGCUAAGGUCCCUCCUCUAGCCCUCACUCUUCCAAAAUUUUCUCUCAACUCACAUAAGGUAAUCAGUGAGUGGCGGUCUCAUCAAGCCAGGAACCAAGGGUCAUAGAGGAGAAGGUCUUAAGCAUUGAAGGCUCGGAUUGUUGUCAUUUUGCUCCAAGAAUGAUGAAUUCAAAAUUAGGUACACAAAUCCUCGUCUUCAACCUUAGGAUGUUCGAUUUUCUAGCUAUGUUGAUCUUGAAAGCCGUUUAGACGGCCUACAUUUGGUAUCAGAGCCUGCAUAAACUAGAAUUCGAACAUAGGGAGCUGUUUUGAAGAAUUUAUCCGCAUGAAACUGGAUUUUGAAUGUAUAAUUGGAUUAAUCUUGUCGAGCUGAGUGUUUUUGUGGGUAGCAUGUCUCCGACGGUUGCCAAAUUUGAUGUCCAUACCCAUUUUGGACUUCACUCAAGAUCGAAGUGUUUUUGCUUGUUUUUUGUGAUUUUGGUCCGAUGAAAGUGAAUUUUUAUUACACAUAUGAAUUCUCCUCAUCAAUAUGAGCAUUUUAGUGGGUAGAACGCCUCUAGACGAUGCCGGAAACGGCCGCACGCGCCUCCACGCACUGAGAUGGAGCUCGGAAGAGGUCCCACGCGCCGCCCCAUGCGCCCGUACGCGCACGCAGGCGUGCUAACACGUGGACUGACACGCGGCUUCGUGCGCGCGGACUGCCUCAAAGGUUUCCCACCACCAACACAUGUCAGUGAUGACGCCACAUAAGCCGCCUUACAUGCGACCGCCACGUGGCAUGUGACGUCACCGAUGAGUCACCACAGACCCGACCGGUUGUUGACCGGGUCAACUCGACCUGAGUUGACCGGGUCGACCCGACCCUGGUGGACCCGGUUGACCUGACUUGGUUGACCGUUGACUGGGUUGACCCGACCCGGUUGAUCGUUGACCGGGGUUGACCCAACCCUGUUGACCGUUGACCGGUUCGACCCGUUGAGCGAUUGGACUGGUUGACCGUUGACCGAUUGACCGGUUGACCGUUGACCGUUGACCGGUUGGAUUGGUAAACCGGCUUUCGGACCGGAUCGGUACGCCAACGCGUGCCGCACACUCUAGCGGCGCCUGAGGGCGCGUGUGACCUCCAUUGGGCGCGUGGUUGAUACCAGCAUGCUCGUAUGUGAAUUUCCUAUCUUGUGGUGUACUUAUUUGUAUUUUUUUUAAUGCCUUUAAGGAUAUGAAAAUGCAUGUGAAACCUGAAGGUACGUGAUUUUGGGGUAAUUUUGGCGUAUUUUCAUAUAUUUCUCUAUGGUUUUGGAAAUACAAAUACAUGUCUAUGAUUAUAUCAUCACUUGAGGAAUAUGUGUAGUGUUGAUUUAUUAGUAGUAUGUAUCGGUGGAUGGAGCAAUGCAAUUAGCAUGACUUGUGAUUUUAGUGACAAAUAGCCCCUGUCAUCAAGUCUAAAAUCACAUGUGAAAGGUAAAUGUGAGUCAUAAAGUUAUAUCCCAAAUAUGAGAGAAUUUCGAUAAUUCAGUUGGGUUGUGACCGCCAAAGUGGCACACUUGAUUGGAUUUGAGAAACAUCGGUCUCAUAUUGUAAAGGGAUGUCUCCUAUUCUGAUGCAUGUUUAUACUCCCAAAGGAGGUAAUUGUGCGUUAGUUUAUGGAGGAGAUACAUGUACAUCAUAUGGUUGAAAAGUGACUAACUCUAGUAAUUCAUACACCCAAAGGUGGUGAAUUCGCGAAAGGUUAUAAUACUUUUUCAUAGACCGCUAUCAUGUGAAGAGUAUACAACUGCAUGUCAUGUAUUCUGCCCAAAGGUGUUUGUAUGAUGAUGUAUGUAGCUCUUGAGAUGUAUGUUUGACACUCACAGGAUGCUAAUUAUAUGUAUUGCUUGUAUAAUCAGUCACCUUCUCUAUAAAUGGCAAUUCUAUUGCAAUUGAGGUUCUCUUUGGAUCAAAAUUUAAGAAAUGGAAAGAUGAUUUUCUGUUUGGGAUGGAGUUGGCAGAUGUUCAAAUUGCUCUUGCUAAGGAUAGGCCGGCAGACCUUACUGAUGCUAGUACAAAAGUCUAGAAAGUGCGUUUUGCUGCAUGAGAAAAAAGUAAUAGAAAAAGUAAAGAAUUUGCUUGCUUAUUAUGAAAUAGUCAAUUCAUGAACAUUUGAUGAGUGGCAUGCCAACUGACUAUACUGUUAAGGAAAUGAUGAAAGCUUUGGAGGCUAGGUAUCAUGUCUCUUCCAAUGGUGAGAUAGGUACACUUAUGCACUCUUUAAUAUGAAGUAUGAUGGUUCGACUGGAGUUAGAGAUUAUGUGCUUAGGAUGGUAGAUCUUCAGACAAAACUCCGAAUUCUUCAGGUUGAUAUCCCUGAAGCUUGUAUUGUGCAUCAAGCAUUAAAUACUCUUCCUCCUGACUUUGGAAUUAUCAAGAUGAACUAUAGUUCGCAAAAUGAGACUUGAUCAAUCAAUGACCUUAUAGUUAGAGUGCUGGCAGAGGAAGAGAAACUGAAGAAAGAAAGAGGGCAUCUUACCUUGUAUGCCUCUAGUUCUGCUAGCAGGAAGGGUAAAUGGAUUGCACAUCUGAGAGGAAAUCCUAAAGUCAUAGGGACUUCUAACUAUAUAGCUCCUAAGAGGGGAAAUCUUGAAGCUGCUGGCCCCUCCACCACUAUGGCUCCUAGAAAGGCACCUUUUAAGAGGGAGGGUGUCCUUUGCUACUUUUGUAGGAAGAGGGGACACAUAAAGAAAUACUAUGAUAACUAUAAAGCUUGGCUAUCUAAAAAUGAGCAUAAAGGGAUUCACAAACAUAAGGACGCCAAAUCAGGAUGAAUCAAAGCUCACUGUGGGAAAUAACGACAAGAUCGACGUUGAGUUCGUGGGAGAUGUCAUUUUGAUUUUAGAUACUAGUUUUAAUAUGAUAUUAAGAAACACUUUCUAUGUACCUUCCUUUAGACGAAACUUAGUUUUCGUAUCAUGUUUGGACAUGUGUGGUUACUCUUUUGAAAUAAAGAACAAUAUAAUAUCUAUGUUCUUUAGUUCAAAUAAGGUUGGAUGCUGCAACAUGUUCAAUGGAUUGUACAGAUUGUGUUUAUCUCCCAAUGAUAUAUACAUCGCUAAUACAGUUGAAAGUGUCGUUCCCAAAAGACCUCUACCUAAGGAACAGUCUUAUGCGUUAUGGCAUAAACGACUAGGUCAUAUAUCCAAAGAAAGAGUAGAAAGGCUGAUAAAGAAACACAUCCUACCUACUCUUAAAGGUGACCUAGAGACUUGCGUAGACUGUUGUAGAGAAAAGAUGACUAAGAUAAAUAAGAAAACUACAGUUCGAAGUUCUGACUUACUAGAAGUCAUUCACACCGAUAUCAAUGGACCCUAUACUGCAACUUUGUGUAUAAAUUUUUAUUUCAUCACAUUUAUCGAUGAUUAUUCUCGGUAUGGUUACCUAUUCCUGAUUAAGGAAAAAUCUAAAUCUCUUGACAAAUUCAAGAUUUUUCGGAUUGAAGUUGAGAAACAAUUAGGAAAUGUAAUAAAUGUGGUUAGAUCUGAUCGAGGUGGAGAAUAUUAUGGUAGACAUGGCAAUGUUGGGCAAAUUAAAUGGCUGUUUGCUAAAUACUUAGAGGAUUCUGGGAUAAUGGCUCAGUUCACAAUGCUUGGAAGUCCUGAACAGAAUGGUGUGGCUGAAAGACGCAAUCGUACUCUCAUGGAUAUGGUAAGGUGUAUGAUGAGUAGGACUAAUUUGCCUGACUUUUUAUGGGGUGAGGCUUUAAAAAUAGCCCUUUAUAUAUUGAAUCAUGUUCCUAUCAAACCUGUUAUAUCGACUCCUUUUGAGUUAUGGACUGGACGCAAACCAAGUUUGAAUCAUUUCAAGGUCUGGGGAUGUUCUGCAAAAGUAAGAUUGAAUAAUCCAACAUUAGGUAAGUUGGAGGCUUAAACCACUCGAUGCUACUUUGUAUCUUACUCAGAAUAUUCGAAGGGAUAUCGGUUUUAUAAUCCAAGUGGAGGAACAAGGAUUGUAGAAUCACAAACGGCCAAGUUUUUGGAAUUUGAUGUAGCCGAAAAGCAUGAUUGCUCACAAAUUAGUGAACAUGACAACAUGAUGAGACCUGUUAUGUCUUUCUCCUUACCUAUGCAGAUGAUUAUGGAGCCUAUUGUGCCAUAAACUGAACCUGUUAAUAUUGAGAAUCCUAUUGAUGAAAUGGCCAUAGAUGAAGUUCUUCAAGUUCCUCAGACUCAAAAUGAAGUUACAGUGGCUCCACUUAGGAGGCCUACUAGGGAAAGGCAUUCAGCUAUACCACCGGACUAUAUAGUCUAUUUAGGAGAACAUGAUUACGAUAUACGCUGCAUUAUAGAUCCAGUGACUUAUAUAGACGCCAUUUCUUGUCCUCAAUCAAGUUUGUGGUUGGAUGCAAUAAGAGAUGAGAUGCAGUCUAUGAAAUAUAAUGGCGUGUGGGAGCUUGUUGAAUUACCGGAAGGUUGUAAACCUAUAGGUUGCAAGUGGGUUUAUAAGACUAAAAGAGAUUCAAAAGGAAAGAUUGAGAAAUUUAAAGCUAGACUUGUGACCAAGGGCUUCACUCAAAGAGAAGUGAUAGACUAUGAAGCAACUUUUUCUCCAGUUUCUUCUAAAGACGUUUUUAGAGUGAUCAUGGCGUUAAUAGCUCAUUUUGACAUGGAAUUACAUCAGAUGGACGUUAAAACUGCUUUUCUAAAUGGAGACCUUGAUGAGGAGGUUUAUAUGGUGCAACCUGAAGGUUUUGCAGCAAAUGAUUCAUGUAAGUUUGUAUGUAAACUAAAGAAGGCUAUUUACGGUCUCAAACAAGCUUCCAAACAAUGGUACUUGAAGUUUCACAAUGUUAUUACUUCUUUUGGUUUUGUUGAGAACAAAGUAGAUCAGUGCAUAUACUACAAGGUCAAUGGGAGGAAAUUUAUUUUUCUUAUACUUUAUGUGGAUGAUAUUUUGCUUGCAAGUAGCGAUGUUGGAUUGCUGCAUGAAACAAAACAAAUGUUGUUAAAGAAUUUUGACAUUAAAGACCUAGGUGAGGCAUCCUUCGUUCUUGGUAUUGAAAUCCAUAGGGAUCGUUGUCAUCGUAUGUUAGGUUUAUCUCAAAAGGCAUAUUUUGAUUGUAUUUUGGAGAGAUUCAACAUGUAGGAUUGCAAACCAGGAACUGUUCCUGUCAUUAAGGGUGACAAGUUGAGUCUCUCACAAUGUCCUCAAUUAGAUUUUGAGAAAAACCAAAUGAAGGAUGUGCCUUAUGCUAAUGCACUUGGAAGUAUCGUGUAUGCUCAAGUUUGCACCAAACCAAACAUCGCUUUUGUAACAGGGCUUUUAGGUAGAUAUUAGUCAAAUCCAAGACACGAUCACUGGGUUGCUGCCAAAAAGGUCUUGAGAUACUUGAAAAGAACAAGAGAUUAUAUGUUGAUUUAUAGAUAUGUCCAUGAUUUGCAAUUGUUGGCAUAUUCAGAUGCAGAUUUUGUUGGUUGUGAGGAUGAUAGGAAAUCGACAACAAGAUAUAUAUUCAUGUUGGCAGGAGGCGCAAUAUCAUGGAAAAGUGAGAAAUAGAAAUCUAUAUCUUCCUCUACCAUGCAAGCGGAGUUUAUAGCAUGUUUUUCAACUUCUACUCAAGCAAUUUGGCUUUGGAACCUCAUUAAGGAAUUGGUCGUAUUUGGUUUUGUGGAUAGACCCAUACAGUUAUAUUGUGAUAACAAUUUUGCUGUGUUGUUUGUCAAUAACAACAGAAGUCUCAAAGGGUCUAAGCAUAUGGAGGUCAAGUUUUUUACCAUAAAGGAAAUGGUACAUAAUGGUGAUAUUAUAGUAGAGCAUGUUCUCACAGACGAUAUGUUGGCAGAUCCGCUGACUAAAGGCCUACGCCCUUGUGUAUUUGAGCGACAUAUCAUGAACAUGGGCUUGGGAGAAUUGGUGGAUACUAUCGUUUAAUGGGAACUAUUUCAGGUUUGCCCUAAUGAAGUUUACUUCUGUAUUUUGUUACUUUUUGUAACGUUUCGAUAUAUGUCAACUCCUUCUGUAUAAAUUGUUAUUGAGUUGUGUACAUAUAUCUAAGGAAAAUCUCAAGGUACUGUGUAAAUCUUGAGUAAAGGCUAGGGGCAUCCAAUUAUUAGCCUUAUACAUAUGUCUCAGUUAUACAUAAAGAAAGGUAAAUCAUAAAGAGAAGACAUACGUGGGUUCAUUAGAACCAUAAAGACAUUCUCUAGUGCCACAUCCGGUUUUCUAUGACACUUAAAGGUAAGAGAAUAGCGACCGACAAGGGAGAUAACACAUAAGGUAAAACUCUUUAUGAAGUGUUAUCCAUUUGCCACACAACCAUAUUGAAUCCAUAUCAGUAAAGUUGAAAGCAUUCGUGACCAUGGAAGGCUCUGUAUGAAUACAUGCAGUUACCGCAAUGAUUCGUUGUUUGAGACUUUAUGGGAUAGGAUUGACUAUUAAGAAUUGCCACUAGACCAACAUAAAGGUGGGCACAUAAAGUACAGUCUCAAUUAAUAUAGCCCAAGUGGGAGAAUAUAUGAGUUUUCUUUAUGUGGGCUACAUUAAUUGAGAUUAUAAUUACCGUUUUAUGGCGUUGGUCUAAUAAGGUAAGGCAUAAGGUUUUCUUCAUGGUCAAAUAUGGGCCUGGCAUUGUGUGGGCCGAGUUGGGCCCGGCCCGUGAUGAGAAGGCCCGUCCAAAACUCUAUAAAUAGCGCUAAUGUCCCUCCUCUAGCCCUCAUUCUUUCAAAAUUCUCUCUCAACACACAUAAGGUAAUCUGUGAGUGGCAAUCUCAUCGAGCUAGGAACCGAGGGUCAUAGAGGAGAAGAUCUUCAGCAUUAAAGGCUCAGAUUGUUGUCAUUUUGCUCCAAGAAUGAUGAAUUCAAAAUCAGGUACACAAAUCCUUGUCUUCAACCUUAGGAUGUUCGAUUUUCUAGCUAUGUUGAUAUUGGAAGCUGUUUAGACGGCCUACAUGUUGUUCACGAUAUUUGUUGUCAUUUUGUCAUUGUAUAAAAGGGUUUGAUGACGGCACAAUUCAUCAGUAUAGUCAUAGUGAUUCUUGUUUGUGAAUAUGUUUUUUUCUUUUGCUCUUGGCUUGAAAGAUUCUAUUUGGAACUAUUGUCUAAUCGGUGUAAUUCAAAUAAAUCAUGAAUACAUCAAGGCACGAGAUCGUAGGUGAUCGGCCUAAAAAUGAGGAAAUAUGGCAUGGAGAGACCACUCGCGAGCUCCCUUAUCACAAAUGAAUCUUUUUACCUCUAAGAAAUGGCAUUUACCAUGUAGAAGAUAUUUGUUCCAAUCAUAAGAUCUUUUUACUACAAGAAUGAGUAACCUAUGUAUCAAGUGAAAAAAUUAGACGGUUGAGAUUGCAUUUCUACGUUUCUUCAUGUAUGAUAGUGAGAGAUCUAAUCUCAUGGGGAGGUGAGUUCACUGGAAAAAGCUAUCUCAGAUGUGUCAUCUAAUGUUUCGAUUGUAGGAUAUAAUAAGAUAGGAAUGGAAUAGUUAUUCCAUAAAAUUGGAAGAGAGUAGGACUAGGAAUGGAAUAGCUAAUUUGUAGUUUGGUCUGUAGAGUGGAUUCAAAACUAUUCUCUUGUUUGUUUUACCAUGAUAGUAGGGAGAAUAGGUCAAGAAUAGUAGAGAAUACCCAUAAUACCCUUUGAUGAUAUAUAAUCAAAGUCUAAUUUCUUUUAUUAUCAUAUUUUGAUAGGACAUAAAUUAAAACCUACUAUAAUUUCUAAAUAAUUGCAAUAUUUGAACAAAAGCUAAUCUCCAAAACAAAGGUUGUUGCGACCUUCCCUUGAUAGGCGGUUAGUGGAUUACUAAGCUCGAAAACUUAAUGCUCACUCUCCAAGACUCUAUCUAGCGCAACUUUGGAGGUUAAUUAUUUUAAUAUGCAAAAUCUUAUUUAUUCAGGAGUCACCACUUAUCAGUUAUUAGUAGGCUGAUUAGAAAAGCUAAUGUUUUUUUAAUAUGAUGAGCAAAACAGAAGCAUUUAAUAAAUGAUAUUUUCAGCCUAAAGAUAAAGGAAGAGAUUUCUCACAAAAACAAAAAACAAAACAAAAAAAAAAAGAUAAAAGGGGAUCAUUAUGCUUUGGUCACGCCAGAUGUUGGGCAAUUUUCUACGAGAUAUUGCACUGAACCUUGAUCUAUAUAUAAAAGGACAUAGAGAAAUUGAAUGCUUUUCCUAGAACUAUACGUGGAGAUUCCGGAUACUUUGAAAAUAGAAUAAUUAGAUCAAAAUGCAUGAAAAAGUUUCAAAGCACCAACGGUAAAACUUUUUGUAUCAUGAAAUGGCCCAAAGAUACGACUGUCUAUGUCUUGACAUAAUUUUAGGAUGCGACUCUAAAUAAGAUUUUCACUGCAUAUGUACACAUCUCCUAAUUCUAGGAGGGUAACAUAUAUAUCAGAAAGCGAAAUGAACCUAGUAUAUUUUAAACUAAACAGAAUAUCACCUAAAAACACAACACAAGUGAAAAGACAAGGUCAAAGAGGAAAAGUUGCAUAUAAAUAUGGAUGGCCCUAAUUAGAUCUAUAGCACUGCUGAUGGUAAAUAUAGUCGAACCGAAAAUUUCAUAUAGGCUUAGCCUUUCAGUUUCUUUUAGCACGUUAACUCUUUCUUUCAUUUUUUUUCCUUCCCUUUACAAGAGGCAUGGAAUUUGAUUCAUAUCUUCCAAUCAGAGAUGAUUAUGCUAGUUAUUACAUGAGCCCCAUAAUGGAAUUGAUCCAUUUUAAGGAAUAGCUACCUCAUAAUUCAUACGGGUCGUCAUAAAAAUAGGAUCUACGUGCUUUGAUAUGAUUAUAUACUCAUUUUGUAACUCCUGAAAAGUUAAUCGCUUUGCAAAAUUAGUAUGAAAAUUGUGGAUUUUCGUAGUGCGCGCAUCUUCAAGGAGCAAAAAUAGGCCAAGUAAUUAGGAAGUUUGUCCCAUCUGUGCACGCUCACUGCAAAAGCCUACAUUUAUUUCCACGAAGGGUGGGAAACCCAAUUGAAAUCGAGUCUGCUUGGGCUUUUACCAUGGAAUUUCAUAUUUCUAAGUGGAAACGCACUAGAAAAGCAUCUCGUUUGGAUCCCUAGCUCCACCCAAUGAUUGAAUUUCGUAAUUUGGAUUAAAUACAACUCUCUAGUCAGAAAAGUUAAAAUGCAGAUGUUGUCCGAUCUAUACCUAUACAAUCCCAUAAUGUUGGAUUUCAAACACGGUGCCCACCUUAGCAAUGACAUUGCUCAUGACAAAUAACAUCAUAAAUUUUGUGUGUCAGUGAAGAUAAAAAUGUGUGUUGCACGAAUUUAGAGUGCAAGAUCAAAAUCUUGAGUAUAUCUAGUAAAUUUAGACAGUUUAUAAAAAGAAUUCAAAAAUUUUAAUGGAGCAUUUCAUUUAAAUAUAAUACCUCUCUCGAAUUUAAUUCUUCUUAUGUCUGAUCACAAAAAUGUCCACUUCUACCAUGUAAUGUGGUUUGGAGUCAAAAGCACAGCUCAUUAUCAAAUGAAGCCCAGUCCGCAAUCACACGGUAUUGUUUACUUAUUGACGGAAUUCUCAGUUCAAUUGGCUUGAGAAUCAAGAGACAAGAUAUGAACAGAUAUACAGUGGACAUGCUCUUUCUUCUUUCAGACAGGUCAUGACAACAUCUUGCCGCAUUAUUUUUGAAGCAUCAACUCUAAAAUUAAGCUUUCAUAAGUCGUGUUGAAUACCCAAAACUAGUAUCCUCAUAAUAGGCUCGUGAAACUCGCACCGAAAGAUGAGUGUGAUUUAUUGCAACAUCCUCUCACAAUCAUGUGAUAACUACAUGUAGGGGAUGUAAUUCAGCAUAAGAAUGAAAUAGUUACUAGUCUUCGCUAGUAUAGAAUGUUAUCUGCACAUGCAUGGCUAUGUAACAAUAUGCAACUCGAUCCCUUCGAGAUAGACUUUAAGUUAACGAUCCAAUAAAAUGUCAGUUGAAUGGCAAUCUGCAAUGGCCACAACUAAAAGGACUCGCCGAUGGAGAAGAAAUGAAAUGGAACAUCAAUUGCUCUAUCAUUCCACGGUUUUCUCAAGUAUACCCGAAAAUGAAUACUAUUCUAAGUUAGGAAUAAGAUGAAUUCGUGAUACUGGUUUUAUCAGGGUAUACCUAAUAUCUUGGACUAUUAAAAAGGAAAAUUUAUGUCAGAUCUCGACAAAAUGCCAGAAGACUCCAAGUAAAAGAAAAGAGGAGAUUAUACUUCUAGAAAUGCACUGAUUACAAGCAAACCCAGUCACAAAAAUUGGAGAGAAAAAAGUUGCAUCACGGCAUUUCAACUUGAGAUAAAAAGGUCACAAACCUGAGGAGGGUGGAUGAUAGGAGAUGGAAUCAUCAUUCAUUUGCCUUCUUUACAAGACUAUUGAUUUCUUUCUUGAUAUCAGUAAAAUUCAUCUUAUCAGCAUUUCGAAUUUACUGGAACAACCAGACCCCACGUGAAAGAAAACGAAUUAACUUAAACCACAGUCUCAUUAGAGUCUAUGUAACUGAUGAUCAAAAGACAAAUCCCUAUACCUGCGUCGCUUAGAGAGAAAUAUCAUGGCAAGGAGCGGAAAAUUCUGUAGCUAUUCAGUCAUUUUCUGGAGACGAAGGGCGGAAAUAGGGCAAUCACGCCCGUCGAUCGUCAAAUAUCUCGACCAGUAGUGUUUAUGUUUAAGGGGGGAAAAAGGACUGUUGAUGCUAGAAAAUCGCGACAUUAGCUCAUCACUUUUCACAUUUAAUGUCCUUGGAAUGAUGGAGGCAUCUAAAAUCAAAGAACGAGAAUCGUCGGUCUAAAUCCUUGGUCAUCAUCCUGGUGAUUUUCUAUAGCUUAGGAAGAACGCUGGCGGAAAUCAUAAUAUGUUUAAGAAACAUUGAUUAGAGUGUGUAAGACAGGUUUGAACCAGGUGCUUGUGCUCCAUAUUAGUCAGUGCUAAGCAAAUGAAAGGAACCUCUUCCAUCUUGGUGAGAGCAAGGGUGAAUCACUACUUGUCAAAGCAUGAAGAUCUACGUUCUUUAGCCCAUGUACAUAAGAAAGAAUAAAUAAAAGGGAAAAAUCUACAAAAAUCCCAAACUUCACCCGUGUGUUGCAUUUACCCAAACUUUUUGUGUAACUCCAAAAAUCUUAUUCUUAUAUUUAUGUGACAUAUUUACCCUAAUUUUUUUUUUUUUUUGUGAUACCAAAAUCCCCAAACUUUUUUCUGUGAUACCAAAUUUUAAGGAUGAAUGUGUCAUACAAAUACAAAUUUAUAAUUUUUUUUAUAUCGUAAGAAGAAGUUUGGGAUAUUUGUCUCACUAUAUAAAUUUGGGAUAAAUGUGUCACAUAUAUACAAUUUUGGGAUUCUUAGUGUUAAAAAAAAGUUUGGGAUAUAUGUGUCAUAAUGAACAUAAUUUAUGAUUUUUGGUGGUUUUUUUUUUAAUAUAAAAAAACUAGAACUUAAUAGUGGGCAACAUAUGCAAUGUGAUUGCAAGCAUGGAAUAGAGACUCGAUGCUAGAUGCUUUUUGGUCAUAAGGAUCAACCGUCCAAAAUUGACUUACUCUAAAGGGUUUUCCUUUCAAUCUUAGAUGUCACAUAGGAAUUUUUACUGACUUAUUCUAGAGGUUUUCCUUUCAAUCUUGGAUGUCACGUAGGAAUUUUUACACUAGGAAGAGGCUGAGAUGGUCUCAAGGUUUAACUCAACCAUCGAGGUUGAAUUAAAACAUCCUUUGAAGAUAUGGUACUGGAAAAAGAAAUCCGCAUAUUCUAAAAUGAAAAGUAGAAUCCAAUUUGUAUAGGAAGUAGCAAUAUUCAAAUUUAUUUUUCACAUUUUUAUCAUGCCUUCGUAAUUUUCAUGUUUGAUUUGACAAAUGGUUUUACUUGGUAAUUUUAUACCUAAUGGAUAACAAACGGAGUAUUAUAAACAAUCCCAAAUUAAUGACAUUAAUAAAUAUAAAAAUGAAAACAAACCUAAUUAAAGUACAUUUAUCAAUAUAUGUCCACGUAAAGCUUGGGCAAAAGUAGUUUGAGUGCGAUUUAGCUGACCGAUACUCCAAUUUUGAGAGAGUGAUUAAGAAAAGAUAAAAAUUAGAAAAAGAAGAAAUUGGGUAAAAGAUGGAAAUCGGUCAAAAAAGUCAACCAGUUUCCAUCUUAGAUGUGCGGUCCUUAACUAACUGUCACUCCGUCGUUGACAAAGUGACCUUAGCUUUUCCUUUUAGUUUUAAUUCUUUCUUAUCGCAAAGCACUUCAAACGCGCGACUCCGGUAAUCUCUUUUUUCCCCCACGGUGCGGUUAGCCGUCCUAAAUGACCAAACCCGCCCUCUCUUCUCGACGAAUUUCCCUCCCUCAAAAAAAAAAAAAAUACCCGGACUCUGAAAAAUCCGGUACUCUUCCCUCGGUCUCUCCCCUCCACCAAUCGGUCAACGCAAGCCUCUGCCACCCCGCCGCUGCGUCGCCAUCGCCGACGACGUCGUAUCAAGUUGUUACAAGGAUCAAACUCAAGACUUCCCAAGUCACUGGGCAGACUCAAUUCGGGAUCCAUCUCUGCGUCGUCCUUCCAGAAUGAAGAGAAAGAGGGAGGAAAAAGAGACGGCGACGGCAGCUGGGACAGGCAGCAGCCGUGAUGGCGGACUGCGUGGAUCCGGUGAUGGNNNNNNNNNNNNNNNNNNNNNNNNNNNNNNNNNNNNNNNNNNNNNNNNNNNNNNNNNNNNNNNNNNNNNNNNNNNNNNNNNNNNNNNNNNNNNNNNNNNNCUGAGUUUAGGGCUCUAGCUUCCGCUAGGCGCGUCCGGUUGUUUCGGUGAGUAGCAUUCUCCUAAAAAAGGAUGAGGAAUUGGCUUACUGUUGCAAUUAUUGUGAUCUAAUCUACGAUAAACAUUAAAACAAAUCCAGGUGGUUAGCACCUCUUUUACUUCUCACAAUGAAUUUCUCUUUACAUUGACUUGAUAGAUCCGAGUGCACUUGGUUCUUUGUUCCCGCUAUAACCAUUGGUGAACUGGGAACUUGAUCACUUUGUUAGUAUGUUAUUGUUACUUUGCCAGCAUGAUACUUUUCCAUUUGCUUUUUACUGGGUUGUUGAUUCAAUGUCUAUAUUGAACGCCAGGUAAAAAUUCCUGAUUUUGAGAAGUGUUUAGACAUAGUCGCCACUCUACAGGCCAAGAAGGGUUCUGGUGAGGUUUUUUUGUCUCGUGCAACUUGUACUUCUGACUAUGUGAACUAGAUAUUGCGGCAAUUUCCAUUUAUCUUCCACUAGUUGAAAGGGAGGCGGUGGUUAAUUGCUUUUUAACAACAAGCUGUGGAUUUCGGUAAUUUAGUUGAGGGGUACGCAAUUGAUUGACAACCUUGUGUUGAAAUUGCAAGGCUUUGAAUCUUGAAAUGAUUGCGGUUACUUACCUCUGAGCAAAUUAGGUCAAGAUGUUCACAUGUAAUUAGAAUGAGAAAGAGAUUUUCCUUCUAAAAUGCUCCCUUGGCCCAUUUAUGGAAAUGAAAAAUGUCGAUGCUCAUCACUAAAUAGUAAGCCUUGUUUAUGCUCUCCACGUUAGGAAUAUUUCUCAUUUAAAGGUACAGUUACAUGCUGAUUAGGUGUUGCAUCUUGCUUGUUAUACCUUGUGAAUCUUCCUAAUACUUUAUCCCAUCAAAUGGUUUGUCAUUGAAAAACGUGUGUAUCAUCUCCCAUGUUUAGCGGUCAUGCAUUAGAGGCUUUCAAUUGCUUAUCAUAAAGUGAGUAAGAAUUAUCUGCAUUUAGGUUCUAUUUAGAAAAGGAAAUCACUUCAGCGGAUCUUUCUUGUCCUUUGAGAAAGCGCAAGAGUAUAGGAAGAGAUAUUGUUUUGCUUGUUAUUCUAAUUCAGAGCCUGGUUAAUGUUAUUGCCGAAAUCUGAAAAAGAAAGGUGGAGAUGUAUCUAAUUCAGGAGUUCUUUUCUUUUUUCCUUUUUUAAAAAAAAAAAUGUUUCUCAUCAGUUAUUCAUUUUGUGGUUGAACUUUUGAGGGAGCGCAGAGCUGGUAUCAGUAUCUUGUGUAUAGAAUGAAAUAAACAAUUCAUUUGUUUUAUGUGUCCCUUCAUUUAAAUAGCAGAAUGCUUUCUUGCUGAUUGAAUAUUCUUCAGAAAGCAAUAGCUUUAUCGAGCAAACCUUUUGACAGACUUAUUUACAUGAGAGUGAAUCUAACAAACUUGGGGUAAGAAGUUAGUCUUAGAAAUUGUUAACCAUAUGUGAAGUCUACAGCCAUCCUUUUCCUUAAUGCAAGAUUUAAAGGCUCUCUUAUUUCUAUCUCUAGACUAACAAAAAGGUCAAGAUUUGGAUUGGGUAUGAUUUAAUUCCAUGGUCACCAUAUCUUAUCUGCGUCUUUUCCAGCAUAUUUAUGUUCCAAGGAGAUUUAGUCCGAGGGCAACAUUUCAGUGGGUGAUCUGAGGAUUCUCAUUAACUUUGCCAUUAGCUAAUAUCUGUUUGUAUGCACCCUUCUUCUUGUUUUUGGUUUCUUUUUGUAUGUUGGCUAUUUGCAAACACUCCCCAGGGAAUCACACUUGGAAAACCUGUGAUGCCGAAUAGUCCCAUACGGUUUUCAUCUAAGCAGCUAAUACCCCCUUGCCUUCUUUGGAUAGAGUCCUUCCCUGUUUCUUUAUUACCAGCUAUCUUGUGUAAGAGAACUAAAAAUUUGGCCAUCUCAUUCUCUUCUGGUUACCAGUCUUUCGUAAAUGGUAAAUCCUAAUGACACCUUCUGCCAUUAACAAAGUUCCCUGCUCAUCUGCUGUAAUUUCCAUAUCUCUGCAGUGGACAAGAAUCUGUGAGAUUUAUUCCGCCAAGGUCUCCAGGCAUCUCAGCCCCCCUGCCAAGGUCCAUCUCUCCUUCCCUCUCUCUCUCUCUCUCUCUCUCUCUCUACACACGCAAACACACGCAAACACAAGUACUACUGUGUCCUGCCUCCAUCUUUCUUUGCACUGAGGUUUACUCCAUUAAAUAGGCUAUGACCCUUGACCCUCUGACAGUACAUAAACAAAGGUGUGAUAUUUCUCUCAAUAUAAAAAUCCAGGAUUUGAAUUGAUCAAUCAUUUCAAAUGGGGGCACCUUGAUGCAACAAUUACUUCACCACUCCAUUCCACCAAAACGAUACACUCUUGUUUCCUCUCUCGUUUUUUGAUAUGUAAACCUGCAUAAUGACUGAAGCAAAUUGGCUUAUUUGCUAUAGCAAAAUGACCUGUGAUUGAGGAUGCCAUUAUAUGUGUGCACAAUCAUGUGUUUCUAUUACAGUAAGAUUGAAUCAUGGCCUCAGAACUGGAAUUUAAAGCUGAACGCUUUUCGGUGCGUGUAUUUUAACUGAGGAUACUUAAUGGGUAUCUGUCAGACUCAUGCUGUUGACUGUUGAGGCUUUUCACAAAGUAAACUUGUUAUCACGUAACCAGAUCAUAUUUUCUCAAUCUGGAGUUCUUUGUAUUGUCUUAAAAUUGACCAAUGUUUUCCUUUGCAGUUUCUGUUUUUCAUCUGGAAUCCUCGACUGUCUAUCAUUCAAUAUGUGUGUGUGUGUGUAUGUAAACUAAUUUUUUCUCAUAAACUUGUUAUCCUAAAAAAUAUUAUCUUAAAAAAAUCUUCUUGCUCCUUGAUGCUCUUUUAGCUGAUCAUAUCACCCCUUUCUAUCUUUACAAAGCAAAUGAAGGAUAGCCUAGUUUAAUUUUUGGAGAAAUGUCACAAAUGGUCCCUAUACUAUUACUUAAUGUGCAAUUUGGUCACUGAACUUUCAAUCAGCUCAAUUUGGUUCUUGAACUAUUGAUAAAUGUCUGAUUUGGUCCCUGAAUUUUCAAUCGGCUCUAUUUGGUCCCUGAACUAUUUGAUAAAUGUCUGAUUUGGUCCCUGAACUUUCGAUCGGCUCAAUUUGGUCCCUGAAUUAUUGAUAAAUGUUCGAUUUAGUCCUUAGUUACCGUUUUUCCUUUUUUUCUUUUUUUCUUUUUAAAAUUUUUUUACAUCUUCUCUCUUCCCUCCGUCGGCUCCNNNNNNNNNNNNNNNNNNNNNNNNNNNNNNNNNNNNNNNNNNNNNNNNNNNNNNNNNNNNNNNNNNNNNNNNNNNNNNNNNNNNNNNNNNNNNNNNNNNNGCAAAUUGCGAAAAGUAGUCUCAAUCGUGCCAGGUUGUCUCUAAUCCCUGACAUAUUCCCUCAAUCUGAGCCCAACUUCCCGGCGUUGAUCAAGGGUCCACGUCCCAUUAUAGAGAUUUGGGGCUCCCUCCCCCGACGCCGGGGAGGGGCUCCCUCGCAGAUCUGGCGAGCGAGCCCCUCCCCCGACCCCGAGUUGCGAGGGAGCCCCUGUUCGGCGUCGGGCGAGGAGCACCCCUUUGUUGAUCGAGGGGCCCCCUUUCCCAACGCCGGCGAGGGGCGAGGGAUCCCGCUUCCGGGGAGGGGUGCGGGAGCCCCUCGCUCGGCUCCGGCGAGGGCCGCCCUCGCCUGCGUCCGGCGAGGGCGACCCUCGCCGGAGCUGGCUUCCCUUCGCCGGAGCUAGCGGAGGGAAGAGAGAAGAAGCAAAAAAGAUUAAAAAAAUUUAAAAAUUAAUUUAAAAAAAAAAAAAAAAAAAAAAGGAAAAACAGUAACUAAGGACUAAAUCGAAUAUUUAUGAAUAGUUCAGGGACCAAAUUGAGCCAAUCGAAAGUUCGGGGACUAAAUCAGAUAUUUAUCAAAUAGUUCAGGGACCAAAUUGAGCCGAUUGAAAGUUCAGGGACCAAAUCGGACAUUUAUCAAUAGUUCAAUGACCAAAUUGAGCCGAUUGAAAGUUCAGGGACCAAAUUACACAUUAGGUAAUAGUAUAGGGACCAUUUGUGACAUUUUCCCUUAAUUCUUUCCGUACUAGGAACUAAUUUUGGUGCGGUUGACAUGGUGUAAAAUAUCCGAUCGUCUUUUCUUCUUUGCAAAUGCACUUCUGGAAGCAAUAUUUCUAAUAACCCAGGUUAGUGCUUUGAAGAGCCCAUGCUGAUAUCAAUAAUGGUUUUAGAUUUGAACACCUGGAUAUCACCAGUAAUAUUUAGUGAGUUGCUUUGAUGUCUGAAGGUCCGAUUAGAAACCGACAUGGGGUGGGAUUACUUUAUUUGGCUUUCAGACCUAAGACUAUCAAAACUUCUAUGGGGCAAAAGACAAUAGGCACCAAGCUGACUGGUUUUUAUGACUCUUUAUUUUGUAUGCAGGCACUCCUUGCUGAUUUUGAAGUCUCUAAAGGCAUUUAUUCACGAGCUCGCAUUGAAGAUACUGAUUCAGUAUGUUUAUGGCUGGGAGCAAAUGUUAUGUUGUUGGAGUAUUCAUGUGAAGAGGUUCUUCUCGAGUUUAAGGAAUGUCCCUCUCUCCAAUAAUGAUGUCAAGUAUCUUAUUUAUUGCAUAAAUUUAUGUUGUAGGUCACAACCCUUCUACAAAAGAACUUAGAAGAUGCUAAAGCAAGUUUAGAAGUUUUUGUUGCUGAUCUACAAUUCUUAAAGGGACCAAGUAACAAUCACGCAGGUAAGUCAGAAUGAUUUGGAACUUGGAGGUCCACGUUUGUUUCAAGCCGUUUACUGUGUCGGUUUUGGGUAGGUCUAUUAGGGUCGAACUAAUGUUGCUCUGAAUUUUGUUACUGUCGUGAGGAUACAAAUUGGGAAGACAUGUUCAUUGGUGAUAAACUGGAGUGUGGUAUGUUUGCACGAAUGUGAACUUGAAAAAAUUUAAAGCUUGUUGUAGGACCAUAUCCUUUAGUUUAUCAUGGCAAAGAUGUUGGUGGCCCUGGGAAAUUUUUCUUUUUUAGGGGUUUGAAACAGCCCUUGAGAGGUGAAUUUUUAUUUGGCAGGUUACAAUUGCUCGUGGGUAUAAUUGGGAUGUUCACCAAAAGAGAAUCCGUCAAGCUGGUGCUCCUGCCAAAGACUCUUAAAGGAAUCUUUUGAGCUCGCAUCAUGGUAGCAGAACGUGUACUCCUGGAUGAGAGUACGACUUUGAUCUCCCCAUUUUCAAUUAGGUGAAUUAUGCACUGCUCUGCGAUAGCAAUGGUUAUGACCCACCACGAGUGAUUUUGGUUAGGUUUACUUAGAUUUACUGCAUUACGCAAAGAAUGUCAUGUAAACGAUUUUGAUCGAGAACCUUUUGGGCUUGAGUUUUCACUUUGUGUUCGGUGCGCUAGUGAGGGCCAGCGAGGGCAAGGCCCCACCAAAUCUGGUGAGCUCGGCCCUCGCCAAAUCCGGCAAGGCCUCGCCUAGCCAAAGCGAGGGUCAACCUCGCCAGCCACUGGCGAGGCGACCUCGCUUGCCGUCCACAAUGCAGCAGCAAUCAGAAGCCACGAGCUCGCUCGCACUCCGAAGGCGCAAUCGCAAGGCACGGAUUGAGGUGGAGAGAGAGAACGGUUCCGAGCGAGCGGCGAGGCAACCUCCUCAACUGGAGAAUCUACGAGUGACUGUCCCUUUCUCUCUCUCGUUUGAAGUGACCGAGCGGUGGUGACGUAGCGGACGACGAUAGGGCAUGUGGCGCAGUUGCAGUAAGCACGGAGUACGCUUGGCCAAUUGUGACCGAGACAUGGCGGUCGAUAGGGUUUCGGGGGAAGACAACGAUGACGACACGUCAGGCGGCAGCUUGUCACCUAUUCGUAGUGAGGAUACAGCAUGGCGGCGUUGUUGGUUGGCAAGAUGGCGUCAGUUGUUGCGAUGGCAAUAGAUAGCAGGGAUUUUUCUUCGGGACAGCGUCAGGGCUACACUGAAGCAGAUGCUAGCGGGCGACAGUGACGCGGGGGAGAUCCAAUGUAGCAAUGGCAUCGGGGGGUUCGGGCAGCGUCGAUGGCGCCUCCUUCCUGCUCGGAUCUAGCCCCCUUCUCUAGUUUCUCUUCCUCUCUCCAGUCCAUCUUCGCAGAUCUGGAACUCCCUUGCCCAGAACUCGCUUGACCGUCAUCUCGCAACUUCACACGUGGCACACUAUAGCCGAAUAUAGACAGAGAAGACAAAUUAAAUCAUCGAUACGUUAUGGUUAUACAUAUAUUGCUUAUGUAUUGACUGUAGGUGAUGAGGUGGAGACAGAUGAGCCUUCGUAUUACUUUGAGGCGAUGGCUAGUUUGAAGUCAUCAUAAUGGCUAGGGGUUAUGAGUGAAAAUAUGGAAUCACUCUAUCAAAAUUAGACAUGAGAGCUGGUCAAAGUACCCAAGAGCCAAAAGAUUGUCGAAAGUAAAUUGGUCUUCAAACGGAAAGAGGGCAUUCUCGUUGUUGAGGCAAUGAGGUAUAAGGCGAGACUUGUGGCAAAAGGGUAUACACAGCGUGAGGGCAUUGACUAUAAUGAGGUGUUCUCUCCUGUGGUAAGACAUACUUCUAUUCGUGUUUUACUUGCCUUAGUUGCUUCGCAGGAUCUCGAGUUAGAGCAACUAGAUGUGAAAACGGUUUCUUCACGGUGAGUUGGAGGAGUAGAUUUACAUGAGGCAACCAAAGAGAUUUGCUAUUCCGAGUAAAGAAGAUCAUAUUUACUUGUUAAAGAAAUCUUUGUAUUGGCUGAAAUAGUCUCCUAGGCAGUGGUAUAAACGUCUUGAUGCUUUCAUGGCUAGUGAAAACUAUUCAAAAAGUCAGUUGGAUAGCUGUGUUUACUAUAGGAGAUUGGAGAAUGGUUAUUUGAUUUAUCUACUCUUAUUUGUUGAUGAUAUGUUGAUAGCAGUUAAGAAUAUGUCUGAUAUUGAUGUGCUAAAGAGGCGGUUAAAUGUUGAUUUUUUUAGAUGAAAGAUUUUGGUGCUGUAAAGAAAAUUUUGGGUAUGGAGAUUUUGUGUGACAAGACUGCAUGAGUUUUAUGUCUAUUUCAAAAGAAAUAUAUUGAGAAGAUCAUAACACGUUUUAAUAUGCAAAUCAGCAAAAUCUAUAAGUAAACCUUUAGCGAAGCACUUUAAAAUUUCAAAUAAAUUAUCACCGCAGACUGAGGAUGAUGAGGAGCAUAUGUCUCGUGUUCCUUAUUCUAGUAAUGUUGGUAGUAUUAUGUAUGCUAUGAUGUGCACUAGGUCUGAUAUUUCACGAGCUGUGAGCAUGAUUAGCCGCUAUAUGAAGCGUUUUGGUAAAGCUCAUUGGGAAGCUGUGAAGUGGAUCUUCAAAUAUUUAAAGGAGACAACAGAUGUGGGUAUAGUAUACCGGAGGGACAACAAUGGCAAUGAGACCACUGGUUUUGUGUAUUCGGAUCACGCUGGUGACUUGGAUGAUCGCAGAUCUUUAACAGGGUACGUGUUUACGCUAGCCAAUGGUGCAGUUAGUUGGAAAGCAUCCUUACAGGAUCACAUUGCCUUGUCUUUGACUGAGGUAGAGUACAUGGCACUAACCUUUGUAGCGAAGGAGGCGAUAUGAUUACAAAGUUUGCUCUCAGACUUUGGGUUAGAAUAAAAAAGUGUGGAUAUACACUGCGAUAACCAAGGUGCGAUAUAUUUGACGUAUAAUCCAAUUUAUCAUGAGUGAAUGAAGCAUAUCAACAUCAAGUACCACUUCAUCGAAGAUGUCUUAGCUAAAGGUAAUGUUACUAUUAAAAAGAUUGUUACAGCAGAUAAACCAACAGACAUGAUGACUAAGUUUGUUCUUUUGGCAAAGUUCAAGCUUUGCUUGAGUUCUAUUGGCAUAUGUGGAGAGUGAGCGUCCGUUGGGGCGUUGGGAGAGCAGCAUGGAUGAUGAGUACUAUAACUUGGCUUUAAACAUCGAGCCAAGGUGGAGAAUUGUUAAAUUAUUACUCGAGUUUUAAUGUUUAUAAAAUGCAAUUUGCUAGAAAAGAGGAAAUAUAAAAUAAAAUAAAAGGUGAGGAAAGUUUCCUCUUUGCCGCGGAAUCCUUUACGAAAUAGAAAAGGAAAGCCGCGUGAAGCCUCUACACGCCAAGAAUUGAAAGUGGUGGGCCCAAGGUCAAAAGUUUGACCUUGGGCACACACACUCCAUGCCAAGGGAGGAAGUCUGCCACGUGAAGCCAAAAUAUGCAGGUGGCGCCCAAUUGGACACACACCUAUAAAAGGCAAAUAGUUUUGCAGGUCUUCUACCUCUACGUUUUGAUGCUGCCGAAGUCCUUUACGUAGGAACACGAACACGCUGCCGAAGCCAUACGUAAGAAGUUGCACGUCCGCUAAAGAGAAGCUAGAGAUUUUUCUUUUUGGCGUGUGACUUGAACGCAUGGUAAUUUUGUGUUAUGAGUUUAUACUCAAGUGAGUUGUUUAUUUAUAAACACUUUUGAUUUGGGAUUAAAUCUAGGUGUGGGAAACACUUGAACGUUUGAGCGAUUGUAAAUUAUGAUUCUCCGAUUAUAGUGGAUUAUUUGCUGCUGGCUCUCCCCGUGGACGUAAGUACCGAUACUCAAACCAAACUACGUAAAUUUCCGGUGUCUUUAUUUUUCUUGUUUAUUUCUCUGGCGAUUUCGUGUUGACGUAAAUUAUAAGAUCCUAUCGUUUCCGCAUAUUAUAUCCCAACAAAAGUAAUGGCAAGUUGUCCAAUACAUCCAACACUUAACCGUGCAGUAAAAAAAUAUAUUUCCAGAUGACAACCUUUUGCUCUUUGAAGACUUUCGUCAAUUAUUUCCUCAACUUAGCCUUCUAUUUGGCGCGAGUCUGAAUGCUUAAUUUUUUAUUUAUUUUUUUAACUUGUGAAGGAAGGCCGCAAGUAAUUUCCAGGCAAACGUAGUGGAAGUGAAGUCAUCUCACUCUGUUUCUUUAUCAAGUUGUUAUAAGAUGAAGAUAUGACAAGUGAUAGCUUGACUAUAUAGAAUUGUGCCUUACACAGGACAACUUGUGUUUAUGCGUGUGAUAAUUACAUAUGAGCUAUCUGUUUCCAUAUGAUGAAUUACAUGCUUCCAUAUACUCUCAAUCAUGUUGCACUUCAGCUAAAAUAAAGAUCCCCGAGACAACCUCUUCCUCUUCGAAGUCUUUGAUCAAUUAUUGCCUCAACCUCCUAUUUUGUGCGAGUCUAAAUGGUCUUUUUUACAGGCGAACGUAGCGGAAGUAAGCGAGCGAUCUCACUCUGUUGCUUUUUGUCAGGUUGUUACAAGGAUCGGACUCAAUUCAGAGAUCAAUAGCCAUUGUCCUCACGGAAUGAAGAGAAAGAGGGAGAGAAAAGAAAUGGAAAUGGCAGCUCCAACAAGCAGCAGCCGUGAUGACAGGUCAAGGAGGGGCUAUGAGGUGUUCCUCAACUUCAGAGGGCCUGACACCCGCUUAACCAUCAUUGAUUCUCUCUACAAUGACAUGAUCCGCACGGGGAUUUGCACUUUCAAAGACAAUGAAGAGCUUCGAUUUGGUGAAGAUAUUGAAGGCAGCCUCUUGCAAGCGAUCAAUGAAUCCAGAAUUUACAUCCCAAUUUUUUCCAAAAACUACGCUUCAAGUAAGUGGUGUCUCCAUGAGCUGGCACACAUAGUGGAGUUAUCGAAAGAUAAUGAUGAGAAAGUGAUUCUCCCUAUCUUCUAUGAUGUGGAUGUGGAUGAUGUCAAGCUUAAGACUAAUUUAUAUCAGAAAGCCCUCCAAAAGUACAAGAGUGACUCAGAGAAGGAUUUAGUAAAGAAGUGGAAGAAGGCUUUGAGAGCAGUUGCCAGAAUUAAAGGAAGGAAUCUAAAAGAUCAUGGGUAUUGUUUGCUUCUCCAUAACUUUAUUUUCUUAUUGACAUUUUCGAUUUUUUUUCCUCUAAAGAAUAAUUAGAUUCAGGUUGCUGCUGUCCAACCUUAUGUAAUGUAUGGUUGGAUUUGACGCAAUGGGGAGCUAGAAAUUUUGCUCAGAUGGCGAGGUUUCUUGCACAAAUUGAAUUUUCACUUUUAAUACUAAGUUUUGAUAACAAUUAGUGUUAAGGUAUAUCAACUUAAUUAAUUAAUCUAUAAUGCCAAAAAACCAAGAUAUCCAUGAAGAUCUAAGAUUCGAAAAAAUAAUAAGAUCAUAUAAGUGUGAAAAAAAUAAAUUAAGUUUCUUAACUUCAAUUGCAUUCCAUACAUAAAGUUAAGGGAUAUGUGCAUUGAAAGUCCUAAAACUUAUCACAAAAGUACAAUCGAAUCUUAAAACUUGCAAAAAAUGCAAUCAAGUUCUAAAACCCGUUGAAUUGGUUCAAUUGAAUCCUUCAGUUAAUUCCAUCCAAUUAGCUAACGGAAAAUACUAACAUGUCUUAUUUUAUUUUUUUAUUAGACACGUGCCCAUGACAUGGUGCUCACCAAGUGCCACAUUAGAAAAAAUUUAAAAAUUACAAGCAAAAUUAGAUUAAAAUAUAAAAAGCUAUAAAUUUUUAAUAAAUAAAAAAAAACUCACCCCACGGCUUGGCCAAGCCCUUGCUAGUGGCCACUGCCACAACCACUGGGAGGGGUUGGUGGAGGUCACCUAGGCCUUUGCCGGCCUUGGGCGAGGCCUUGGCGUGCCCAGACGAGGGUCCCCAAGCUUUGAGAAGGCCUAGGGCUAGGCUUAGCCACAACUUGAUUUUUAAAAUAAAAAAAAAUGUAGCUUUUUUUUUUAAUUUAAUUUUGUUUGUAUUCUUUAAAUUUUAUUCCUGAUGUGGCACUUGGUGGGUGCAACAUCAUCGCCACAUGUCUUAAGAAAAUAAUAAAAUAAGACAUGCCAGCAUUUUCAGUUAGCUUAAUUGAACGGAGAUAACGGAAUGACUCAAUUGAACUAAUUUGAUAAGUUUUAAGGCUUGAUUACGCUUUUUGCAAGUUUUAGGACUCGAUUCCCUUUUCACGAUAAGUUUUAGGACUUCUAGUAAACUUACUUGCUAAAGUUAAGGACUUUUGAUGCAAUUUUCCCAACCCUAUGCCUGCAAUGUUUUCUUGUCCUUUUGUUAUGCUAAUGAAAGCUGAAGAAGAAUCGGCCCAAAAUAAGAGUGCUCGAUAACGAGCUUCUUUAUGUGUUCCGAGCCAUUAAUGGCCGGUGUUAGUUAAUAGUUGUUAGUAUUUGAUGUGCGUUAUUUAUUUAUUUAUUUAAUUUUGGUCCAAGUGUUUGAUGACGUAAAAAUGUGCGGGAAUAAAAAGAAAUUAUAGCAUAGACUAAGUCUUUGCAAUAUCCAAAAAUCCACGAGGCCAAGAGGAAGAAACCGAUCCUUGUGGAUUCCUUUUCGGCCUUAGGGAAUUCAUAUGCCUUGCUACUGUUUUGCUCGAGGUAACCGGCUAAUUAUGGUCACACCCCUGAGUUACACAAAAAUAACAGAGCUUCUUCAUAAUGAUAGUUUUACGUGCCCAUAAGAGGAAGCUAUAGGUCAUGGUUUUCCUAUUUGGUCUGAAUAUACAGGACCGAACACUAAAAAGAUCUUUGCAUGCCAUUAUCCAAAAGGGCAAAAAGAAAAAAUGAUUUCUGCAUGUGUUAGACGUUCAAUCUUCUAGUACACAUCUUAUCGCAUCUUAAUUAGUUUGUGAAGAACUGACUUAGAUUUAGUUGUAUUAUCAAUCUUGGGCUUUUACUUUCAUCAUAGUGGGGCAGGGGUCAUUGGCGUCUCUAGUGGCCAAUUGUGCAUAGACAAAAUCUACAGCCUUAAACUGAACAUUCUUCUACGAGUGAUCUAAAGUUUGCCAAUAUUGGACCCGUUUCUGUCUAGUAAAAAGUGAAAAAAAAAAAAUUGGUUAUUGCCCUUGCUUUAACCAUGGACCUAUUCAUGGCCCCAGGUCUUAAUUAACCAAAAAUUCAAUUAAGGGACUUCUAGGUAGUUCUAGUUACGGAUAGAGAAAUCUAGGAACCUCUAGAAAAUGGAUAAGAAAUUUAAUCAUUUUAAUUACCUUGAGAUAUGUAACUACUCUCUACCCUAGUUUGUGAUAGUUUUUCUAUAAACCCUAGUCGUUAUUCUAUGCUUACUUUCAUCUUUCUUCAUUAAACCGUAUUGUUUCCGUCAUUCAUCAAACAUAGUAAAGGUGCGGUUAGUUCGGCAUUUGGAAAGUUCAUUGGGAAAAUGCAAAGCCUUUUAGCCUAAAGGACUUUGAAGGAAAUGCAAAGACUGUUUGGUAAAUUCUGCUUUGAAAAGCAACUUUGAGAUAAAUGUUAUUUGGUAGAAAACACAUUUGCAAAGCCCCUUUGGUGAUUAAUCUAAAAUUUUUAAUUUUUUUUGGUGAAAUAAAUAGUUUAAUUUUUUUUGGUGAAAUAAAUAGUUUUAUUUUAAUUUGUUUAAAAAUUAAAAAAUAAUGUUUGCGACUUUUUUAAUUUAUAUUUGACAAAAAAUGUUAAAGAUGUUGUGUAAACAAUUUUAUUAAAAUUAAAAUUCUUUUUUUUUUUGGCUAAAAAACAUCAAAUGGGAAAAAUUUAUGUACUCUCUUUCUCAAUUACAAUAAGAAUACUUUCAUUAUAAUAAAAAAAAAAUGAUGACAUAUGCUUUGAGAAAAGAAGCUCAUUAUCCUUAAAAAUUACAAAUAUCCUUAAUUACUUCCUAAAAGAUCACGUAAACAUGCCAUAUCAGAUGCUAUAUCAUCAUUUGAAGCAUUACCCUCUCAAUUGACAUCAUUAGGAUCCGUUGUAUAUAAAUUGGGAUCCAAAUCCACUCUAGCAAAAUGUGCAUCAUUCAAGGCAUUUCUUCAUUUCUUUUAAAUCAAAUAACUUUAAACAUGAUGAUAAACUUCUAGUGCCAUGAAAUGCGUGCAAAUUUUCCAUAUAUGUGGUUUUUGAAUCUGAGAUGGUUGCAUAUUUUGUGGCAGCCUAGAUGAACUUAAGAAUCUCACGAUCAAGGAGGUUUCUAAUUUGUUAUGGACAAGACGGACAGACAUGCCUGAUCAUUCGGUGGGAAUUAAGGAUCGGAUGGAUGAAAUUAUGGAGCAGUUAGAUCUAGUAGCAUUUGAUGUGAGAUUCAUCGCAAUUCAUGGAAUGGGUGGUAUUGGGAAGACAACAUUGGUCAAGGCUGUCUUUAGGCGAAUCUCCCCUCAAUUUUCGGGCAUUGGUGCUUUCUUAAAGAUGUCCGGACUCAGAUAUACUAAAGUUACAAAAAAAUUGGUGGUUGAUGUCCUCAAACUCAGUUGUAUAAACCUCUCCUUCAUUGAUGAAGGGGCUCACCUGAUCAAGACGAGGUUCCAUGGGAAGAAAGUCCUCAUUGUUCUUGAUGACAUUGACAACCGAGACCAAAUCAUGAGACUUGUUGGUAAGCCAAAUUGGUAUGGUGAGGGUAGUAGAAUCAUCAUAACAACAAGGAAUAUUGAAUUCCUAGUAAAGGAAGGUGAAGAUCACAAUGCCCCAAUCUCAGAUACUACACAUUUUUCAUUCUACACUAUGCCGGAGAUGAAUUGGGAUGAUGCUCUUAAACUUUUUUGUGAGCGUGCCUUGGGAUGUGUCAAGCCUCCAGAUGUUUACAUUGAUAUUUCAGAAAAGGUAAUCAAUGCACUUGGAAGACUUCCAUUGGCUCUCGAUGUCGUAGGUUCCACACUCCGUGGAAAAUGCCAAAGUACAUGGAAAAAUGUUCUAUCUAAGUUAAAGAAGGUGAUGAACGAGGAUGUCAAGAAGAAGUUGAUGAUAAGCUAUGAAGCAUUGGACCCUAAUCAGCAACAGAUAUAUCUUGAUAUUGCAUGUUUCUUCAUUAAUCAAGAGAAAACAACUGCAAUUAAAUAUUGGGACGCAGUUUUUGGGUAUCCCACCGAAAUCGAAGUCAAUAUCCUCACACGUAUGUCUCUAAUAAAGAUCAUAGACUACGAUGAAUUAUGGAUGCAUGACCAACUUAGAGACCUCGGGCGAGAUAUUGUCCACCGGGAAAGUUGCAACAUAUGUUUAACGGGUAGUAGACUCUGGUUACCCAAGGACGCCUUCCAUUUGGUGCAAAGAAAAAAGGUAAGUUCUAACUCUAAAAGUUUUCCUCUCUUUCCAUUAGUAUCAUUACCUUUUAAAUCUAAUGUCAACUCAAAUUGACACAUGCAUUCAUUGGUUGCUACUUUUAUCUUCUAGGGAACCAAGAACAUAGUGGCACUUAAUCUUGGUACACCUAAACCGGAUGCAACAUAUAGAUUUAAACACAAGGAAUUUGCAAGGAUGGUCAAUCUUAGAUUCCUUCAAUUGGACCAUGGAAACUUCCAAGGAGACUUUAAGGAUCAUUUUUCCGAGUUAAGAUGGCUCUCUUGGCACAAUUGCCCAUCCAAAUUCCUUGCUACCAACUUUGGGUUGGAGAACCUAGCAGUUCUUGAGCUUUCUGGGAAUAAUAUUACUAAAGAUUGGGGAGGAUGGCGUCAAAUCAUGGUAUGAUUUCAUGACAUACUUUUGCAUUACCUUUACUCUUUUUCUUUUCUAAGUUUCAGCUUAAUUGCUUUAUAGGUAGCAAAGCAGUUGAAAGUCCUAAAACUCCUGGAUUGUCCAUUACUUAGAAAGACACCAAAGUUCUCUGCAAUCUCUAGAUUAGAGAGAUUAAUCCUUAGAUGCAAGCAACUUGGAAAGAUCGACAAGUCCAUCGGCGUUUUACAACAUCUUGAUUACUUAGAAAUAUUUUCUCAAGAACUUUCAGUGUUGCCUCACUCGAUUGGUAAUCUAGUGAGUGUGAAGCAUAUAAUCUUGUCAUGUUGGGAAUUGCAAAAGCUCCCUAAUUCUAUUGGACAAUUGGAGUCACUACUUGAGUUGAAUGUCAGACAUACAAGUGUGAGAGAAUUACCUUAUUCCAUUAGGAACUUAGGAAGGUUGGAAAUUUUUAUGAUCCCAAAUGGCUAUUUAAAAAAGCUACCAGACUCAUUUGGGAGGCUUCAAUCAUUGGUCAAGUUGGAUUUGAGUCUUUCACGCAUCAGGAGCUUACCUGAUUGUAUUGGAAAUCUCAAAAGGUUGAAGGCACUAAAUCUAGAUCAUAGCCGCAUAAUUGAACUUCCGAAAACUAUAGGAACAUUGGAAAAAUUGGAAGAGUUGAGUGCCUCAUGUGAACACCUGGAGGGGGAAAUUCCAAGUGAAAUUGGGGCACUAUCCUCAUUGAAAUUUCUAGAUUUAUCAGGUGGCUGUUUUAGUGGAUUGCCGACAACUAUCAAUCGGCUUACAAAUCUCCAAAAACUUAAUUUAUGGGACUGUAGGUCAAUUCAACAAUUGCCAGAGCUUCCUAAGAGUCUAAGGUCAUUAAGCUUUUCAUUGGACUCAUUGACUACAAUCCCUGACUUCUCCAACCUAACCAAUUUAGUUCAUCUUGAUAUAAUUGGAACAAAAGUACAAGAACCCAACAUAGAGGGGCUUUUGAGAGCAAGUGCUCUAAGAAAGUUGACCUUGUGGGUUGGAAAAAUGACCUUGCCUCCUACUGAUUUGAGUUCCCUCAUUCAGUUACAAGAACUCUUUGUAAGUUAUGCCAACCCCCGAUCUCUUAUCGGGCUUCCAUCCAGCCUUCAACAGUUGACUUUAGUCGAUGUCCAAUCACCAAUAGAUUGGUCGCUCUUUUCCAACUUGGAGAAUUUGUCAAGAUUGAUUAUUGAGAGAUAUUCGUUAGGCGAGAUUCAUUUCGAUGGGUUUGGAAAGCUACAAAAUUUCAAUGAAUUGAUGAUAUUCGACUGUCCAUUGCUUAAGACUCUGCCCAUUCUGCCUUGUAUGAAAAAGAUCCAGCAUUUGUACCUACGCCAAUUCCCUCACCUAAUUGAGAUUCAGGGUUUGGGAGAAUUGAAAUCAUUGCGGACACUAUGGAUUUGGAACUGUAAUUCCAUCAAAAGCUUAAAUGAAUAUGAUCUAUCUACUUUACAUAAUCUAAAAAGAUUGGAUUUCAAUCGGUGUGAAUCACUGGAGAGCAUGUUGGGUGUGCCAAAAUCUUGCGAACUCACUGUAAGUUACUGCCCAAGGUUCAACAAAGAUGAAUGAGGUAUGUAUCAUUUGUUUACUAAGACUUUGCUUAAUUAAAAGAUUUAGGUGACUCACCUGCUUUGCUCAAUUCAUGAAAAUUAUAAAUAUGGAAACUUCUCAUAGGUUAUCAUGGUGAGAAAAGGAAUGAAUAUAGUUAGUCCCUUUGAUCCAUCAAAGUAUAUAAGUAAUGUCAAGUAUACUAGACAAAAUUAGUGUUUUUUUUGUCAGCAUACAAAAUUAGGUUUUUUUUUUUUUUUGGUCAGAAACAGGAAAUUAUAUUGGAGAGGUAAAACCAUUACAACCGGCAGCUAAAGCAUCCAUGCAAAUGAGAUCUAUCAAAUAAAACGAGGGAAAAAUGGCCCAACAUUGGACAGAGGAAGAACGAUCAUGGGCCUUUGUAGCCCAGUCAGCAGCAACAUUGGCCUCCCUUCUGCAGUGCCCUAGCGAGAGAUUAGGGAAACUCGAGAGCAAGGAGGCAGCUUCGACGAAGAGAGGCCGAUCCUCCCAUGGCGGCUUGCGGCGACGAUUCAGGAUCUCAACCACCAGGAAGUUGUCUAAUUCAAGGAGAAGCGAAGCAUUGGAGAAGCCAUGGCAUUGCAGAUGCUGAAGAGAUAAAGACAGCUUGGAUCUCGGCUUGAAAGGCAGAAGAUGCAGCAAAAUGUUUCGAAAAUCCAUCGGUAAGUCUUCCGUGAUGAUCCCUGCAUACACACGCCAUUGUGCCUUCUCUCGAGCCGAGUUGAUAAGACCCACCUACAUUAAACUUCAAGGUACCUCGAUCUAGGGGCUUCCAAAGGGUUCCCCUACUCAGUAACGAACACCCCUUAUUCAUCAGCGAUGAAGCCAUCAGAUGAGUGACAUUAGAAUCAGUCAGUGCAACCUCAGCCACCCGAGAUGGUCGAAGGCCUUCUUGUCGAAAAAUAAAACCAUUUCGAGCACGCCAAAUCUGCCAAAGAAUUGAGACCAAAGUCUCCAAACCAGGUAAGAAAGAUCUAGACUGAACUAGUUGGACUAUCCAUUCAUCUAUUCUAUGAAGCUGCAUAGGUGAAAUCUGAAUGUUGAAGCUGGGGUGCGCCCAGACCCUUUUAGUCCACGAACAUAAUAAAAACAGAUGUUCAAGAGUUUCAGGGAGAUUCUAAUCACAAAGUAGACAACACGGGUUGUUAAUAAUAUGUCGCUGAAAUAAAUUAGCCCUUGUAGCAAGAGCAUUCUAACAAAGCGACCAUAGGAAGGCUCGAAUUUUUGGGGGGGGGGGGGGGGAAUGCAUUUUCCAGAUUCUUUUCCAUAACCAACUUGGAUUCUAAUAAGAUGAGGAAGUGGUACUUAUUGUCUGGUGUGUUGCUGUUGUUGUGAAUGAAAGAUAAGCAGAUUUAAUAGUGAAAUAACCAUCUUUGGUAGCAGUCCAGAUAAUCUGAUCUCUGGUAGAAAGUGGUCGCAGAGGGAUAGUGGUGAUCUGGUCUAUAACCUGAUUGUCAAAGAAUUUGUGUAACAAGCUGGCAUUCCCAGUAUUGGUGGAUUGAUCAAUAAGAUCAGCUACCAAAAUAGGUUCUUCACGGAUUGAAGGGCCACUUAAGAUUCCAAUAGGGAGCCAAGGAUCACCAUGUAUUCUGAUUGAUUUACCAUCACCUACAGACCAACGUAUGUUGGGUAGGAUGGCAUCCCGACCAAGCAGAAGACUCUGCUAGCCCCAAGAUGGGCGAGAGCCUUUGUCAGCAUUUAGAAAAGACUUGGAAUGAAAAUACAAUCCUUUGAAAAAUUUGCUCCAAAGAGAUAAAGGCUGAUAAAGUAAACGCCAAGCCUGCUUAGCCAGCAUUGCUCUAUUAAAAUGUAGAAGAUCUCUAAAGCCUAAACCUCCAUCUGCUUUACUUUUUUUCAAAACAUCCCAACUCCACCAAUGUAUUCCUGAUUUAUUUCGAUCAUUCUGCCACCAAAAUCUGGCUACGCUUUUCUCGAUAGAUCUACAAAUAGACACAAGCAACUUGAAGGUAGACAUUGCAUAAUGAGGAAUAGCCUGGAUAACAGUUUUGAGUAGGAUCUCUUUCCCACCCUUUGAAAUCAGAUUAGCUUUCCAACUCUCCAAUUUAGAUUGAACUCGGCUCAAUAUCCAUGAAAACAUGUCUUUUUUCAAACGUCCCCAAUCAGAAGGUAUCCCUAAGUAUUUUCCACAUUUGUUCAGAAUAGGAACCCGGAGCUCCGAAGCCAAAUUCUGCUGCAAACUAACUGGGCAAUCUUUUCCAAAGUAGAUACCAAAUUUAUUACGAUUAAUUUCCUACCCUGUUGCUAGACAAUACUGCUCUAAUAUAUUCGAUAGAUUCUAGCAUUCAUUAACAGUACCAUCAAGAAAGAAUAUGGCAUCAUCCGCAAAAAAACAAAUGAGUUAAAGAAGGGCACCACCUGUUAAGUUCAAUACAUUUAAGAUGUUCCAAGUUGACAACUUUCUUAAUAAGUGUAGAAAGGAUAUUAGCCAACAUAAUAAACAGAUAAGGGGAGAGAGAAUCACCUUGUCUAAGACCUCUAGAAGGGUAGAAAUAGCUAAGAUGUUCUCCAUUCGGUUUAACACAGGAUGUUUGAGUCGAAAUACAUUGCAUAGUCCACUUCACCCAAGUAGGAUGAAAACCCAGUUUAAGGAGAUAAUCUUGGAGAAAAUCCCAUUCAACCCCGUCAUACGUUUUCCUCAUAUCCACUUUCAGAAAUGCUUGAUAAGUACAACUUCCUUUCUUGAUUCAAAGCUGGUGUAGAACUUCCUAGACAAGUAAAACAUUAUCCUGAAUUUGUCUACCCCCCACAAAAGCAGAUCGUUCCUCUGAGAUAAGGUCUGGUAAGAUGGGUUUUAGAUGAUUUGCAAUGAUUUUAGAUAUGACUUUAUAAGCAUAAUUGCACAGACUGAUAGAACGAUACUGAUCAAGGCUUUCUGGGUGAGGAAUCUUAGGAAUCAAAGCUAUUAAAGUUCUGUUUAAAGAAGAGGGCAUAACACCAGUAGUAAAGAACACAUUAACAACUUCAAAGAGAUCAUAUUUAAUAAUGUCCCAGUUCGUCUAAUAAAAUAAAUCAUUAAGACCAUCAGGGCCCGGAGCUUUGGCUGCUCCUAAUUGAAAGGUUGCCUGCUAUACCUCUUCCAGGGUAACAACAACAGUUAAACUAGUAUUCAUCUCCUGUGUUACCAAAGGAGUGCACUGAUCUAAGAUAGGAGCAUAAUUGCGACAUCCUAUUAAGGUAUAUAAGCGUGAGAAGAAAUCUGUCACCAUCUCCUUUAUUCUUGUAGGAUCCCGCACCCAAAAGUUAUCGUCAUUCUUAAGCAUAGUAAUACGAUUACGCUGACGACACUAAACAGUUGUUGCAUGAAAAAAACUAGCGUUCUUGUCUCCCCAUUUCAGCCAAUUAAGUCUGGAACGGAUAGCCCAAUAUUGUUCUUCACGACUCCACACCCUCUGCAGUUCUUCCUUCAAAGUUUUAACCUCAGUGUGAUCAUAAAAGACAUUCUGUUGAUUAGUAAGGUGCUGCAGUUGGAGCUGCAAAUCAUUAGCCCUAAGUCUUAUGAUUGAAAGAUGCAUUCAUGCUGCGAACAGAAUUCCAUGAAGUAUUAAUAAUAUCCCGACACUCCACAUCCUAAUUCCAAUAAGAUUCAUACUUAAAGUAGUGCUGUCUAGAACCAACCACUGGUGAAGUGUUAAGGAUAAGAGGACUAUGGUCAAAACCAAUAGCAGGUAAAGCAUAAACCUCAGCCUAAGGAAAAAGUAAUCUCCAAUCCAGUGAGCACAGGGCUCGAUCUAGACACUCCUUUAUUAACUCAUCCCCCUGAUGAUUGUUUAUCCACGUAAAUGCACAACCCUUAGCUUCAAUAGGCAUUAAAGAACAGUCAUUGAGAACAUAUUGAAAAGAAGCCAACCGAUUAAAAUCAACUGGUCUACCUUCGUGCUUUUUCCAGUGAAAAAGAAUCUCAUUGAAAUCACCGAUGUAGGCCCAAGGAAGAGUAUUUGCAAGGCUGAUGUUAAUGAGAUCCUGCCAAACCUCAAGUCUCAAACGAGCAACAGCAGGGGCAUGAAGACACGUGAGGCGCCAGGUAAUGCUUUCUACUUCAUCUAUACACAUCAUAUCGAAGUAAUCCAGAGUUGAACACACAAAAGAAAGAGAAACAGAAUCAUUCCAUAAAACUGCUAAACCCCUGCCAAACCAACUAGGUUGUAAACACACAGAAGCAAAAAAUGCAACCGAAUUUGCAACUGACUAAGGACAGCUUCGCAAUUUUUAGUUUCCAUAAAAAAUAAGAGAUCAGGUUUUUCCUUAACUACCAGGGCCUUUAGUGCUUGAACUGUCAGGGUAUUGCCCAAACCCUGAGAGUUCCAACUGAUCAUUUUCAUUUGUGACAAGGGGGCUAUUGAGGGCUAGCCACCCAUGCCCAACUUCCAUCUCUAGGAGCUUGCUCAAUGGGAGUGUCCAACAGUAAAGAUUCAUCCAGAUCAUCUAGUGUUGCACUGCGCAUAUCAUAUGCGUUAUACCUCUUAUGUUUCUUAACAGGGCCAACUUUUGUUAUAUGGCGAGAGCUCUUCAGCCUUUUGUCCUGAGUGACACUGCUUGUAUUAAACUGAACACCCUUCUGCUUUGCUGAUGCAGGAAUCAAAGCAAUGUGAGAAUCGCUGCCCCGAUGCGAGGACACCAGCACUAGAGGAGCUAGAGGAUGUGAUGCAGGAGGAAUAUCAAUCACUAAAGGCUGCAACAAGGGAGAGGCUUCAGAGGUAGGAAUUGGCGGCAAUAAAGGAAGGGGUUGAGCAACUGUAGGGGGAGUUUUAGGUACCACUUCUUCCACUAUGUCCUCCAUCUCUGUCGUUUCAUAAUAAAGUUUACAGUACGGACUAUGUUCCAUAAGCUUAGCGCGCAGCCAUUGUCCAUACGACAACUUGUCCUCUCCAGUUAAUACAUCAACAUCAACAGGUUUAUCGAUACAUGAGGUGGCAUAAUGCCUUAACUUCCCACAUAGAUAACGGUAAUGGGCAAGACGUUCAUACCUAAAAUCCAACCAAAUGGUCUUAUUAUUAAUGCUAAUCGAACGACCUGUCUGCAAAGGAUGCUGAAAGUCAAUUUCAACAUGCGCACGCCCUAAUCUCAUGGUAAACGUGUCUUGACCAUCGGCCCUUACUUCCAAAACUUUCCCAACUGUCAUAACUGCUUUUCUAAUAAGCUGUCAUGUGCACAAUUCCAGGGGAAGGCCAAACACUUGCACCCAAAAAGCGCAAGUUGAGAAAUCAUAGAAUGCAGCGGUGUGUUGGGAAUCCAAGCCUUAAAGACCACCAAUCGACUAGAAAAGACCCAAGGUCCCCCCACUAAAAUCCUCUAUUUAUUAGUAUAUAAUUUAAAUUUCGCCGCAUAGAGACCAUCCUCUCUCUAAGAGAUGUCCACCUGUUCUGUACGCCAAACCCUUUUCAUAGUACUCUGGGAAGCCUGGAAGUUUAUAGGAGAAUCAAUGAAUACCUUACCAAUCAGAGUUAAACGGCACUCAUUCAAUUUCGCAGGAGUAGGCACAUCGUUCUAGACCUCCAAAUCGUGAGGUGAGCACAAUCUUCCCAAGCGCUUACACAGGGUAGCCAAAUGAGGGGAAUUGGCUUCAUCUGCAUGUGCCAUAUCUACUCUGGAUAGAGUAAGGAGCAAAACCAAACAAUCGAAGAGAAAAUCAGCAACUAGGAAAGCUUGGGUAUGUGAGAAAGGCCAAAUAGAACAGUCGAUAGACCCAAAGGAGGAUUAGAAUCACACAUGCAAGCAACCUAAUGGGAGUCCGAAGAGAGAGAGAAGCAUAGUGAAGCAGAGGCGAAAGGUAGAGAAUGAGAGGCGAAGGAGCAGAGAGUUGGAGGCGGAAAGAUUACAAAGUACAGACAGGCAUCGAGAAUAACAGCUGAUAGAAAAGAGAAUCCAUCGAGGAAAACCAGAUGAAACAAGAAGAUUAGGGUUUAAGAUGCCAUUGAACCGAAGAAGGAAGCUCUGCAUGCGCAAGAGAAAAAGCUAUCCUUGACGGAUAGAGAGAAAAUUCAGUCCUCAAAUUUUUAGUUUUACAAAAUUAGGUUUGAGAAGAGGUAUUUUGAACAAUCAAUUAACUCAAUUUUCCUCUACAUCAAUUCUCUUUGAUUUUCAUCUCCAAAAGAGAGUAAAACUACAAUUUUCUUCUCUAUUUGUUUGCUAUUGGUUCAUUCUUGCUCAUCUUAAAUUACAAUCAGGGAAGAUGUUUCAAUUUGCCUGAUAAGUCAUUUACUUUCUUGAAUUCUUAUUUGUUAUGCGGAUGACAGGUCAUUUCUUUUUCCUUUGCUAUUUUAAGCUCGGUUUGGGAAUUUGAUGACUCGACUUUUUAAUGAAUUAAUUAAGGCAAAUGCAAUAACCUAGGUUUCUCCUUUUUUGUAUCACCUUUGUUUCUUGUAGUUUCGAAGAUUGAGCAAGGACACUGCCAGUUUUACUUCACUUUUGAUGUCAAUGGUUAUAAUUGCAAUUUCAAGCAUUCCCAUUAUUAAAGUUGAAAUUCUACUUCUCCAGCAAUAAUUAUUACCUUUGUUCAUCUAUUUAUGCAGAGUUCCGGAAUGCAAUCAACUAUUCAUGUUGAAUGUCUUCAAGUGUAAUGGUUGGGGAUCUAUAUGAGCAACAAUUAUUACCAGUCGAACUAUUUCUGGCUAAGAGUUGUGUCAUGCUUAGGCAUUCAAUGGCAUAAUGUACUAACCUUACCAUUUGUUUGCAGAAGUACUAUUUUCACUCAUAAUUAGCUUAAUCAAAGUACCUUAUAUAUAUAUUUUUUUUUCAUAGAUCUUGGUCAAUUAGUCAAGUUCAGGGGACCGAAAUUUGAAAGAUCCAUGACUUCCUCUCAUAUUCUUGCGUGUGCUUCUAUUGGCAUCCAAAAUUUGCUUGUUGGGCUUCGAAAAUAGAAGAGAGUAAAGUAUGCCCGACACACAAGAAUUCAUGGGUAGUGAGCCAAAACGCCAAUAGGCGACAACAAAGAUUUCGAACAAUUUGACAUUAGAACUUGCCGAGGCAAGCGAGACAACAAAGGAAGAAGUUACGAGAAUUGGUACCAGCGAAAAUAUCAACAAGGCAAAGUAGUUAUCGAUAAGGAGCCAAAGCUUCCGAAACAUCUUGAAUAUCGAAAUGAUAACCGCUAAAGAGCAUUUACCCAUAAAUUGCCACUAUAAAUGUCACGUCUCAAUCCUCAGACCACGUGCCCAUUCCUCUUGGUCGAUAUAAUUGCGACAUCCUAGGACGCAUGACUGACCCAUUCGUUUUAAUGCACAUGCGGAAACGAUUAAUAAAUCCCCAGACAACAACAAGAUGGGAUAGAAAAGUAGGGCCCAUUUUUCACAAAAUACAUUUUUAUAAAAAUACAGGUUUAUACACAGCAGCCUACAAAAAGGAAUUGAUUUUCAUCAAAAGAGAAUUGUCCUAUGACUAACUAGUCAGACAAGAUCACCGAUUCUUCGGGCUUCACCUUCUAAACUCUGGGCUUCGGGUCCUCCACCGCUAUCAACUAAGGACCUGAAAAUAUUAUCCCACAAUGGGGUGAGAUGACGUCUCAGCAGGUUCAACCUCCUAAAACCCGACUAGGAAGAAAAUAUGCCGAAAGGGCUACCUAAGCACAAUCAUGAGUCAGAGGACUUAUCUUGGCCUCUCUUCCUUGCAAGUCAAUAUAAUUCAAACAACCAUCCAAUCAUCAAUUCCCAAAUCACUUUACCCAACCAGAUCGAAUCAUCGAUUAAUCGACUCAAUUGAUUACAUGUCAUUGAGAUCAUUCCCCAAUCAUCUUAAUCAAUACUAUCUAUAAAGUCCGAUCAUAAUCUAGGACUACUUACUUUAAGCCAAUAAUAGAUAAUAUAUUAUACUGAGAUAAUAUAUUAUACAUAUGCUCGCCAGAAGCUGCCUCAAAUACUGAUAUAGUAUAUUAUAUAUUCUCGCUAGAAGUUGUCAGAUAUAUUUUCAUAGUAUACUGAUAAUAAUAAUGCUUACCAGAAGCUGCUAGAUAUACUCUCAUAGUGUGCUGAAAAUAAUCAUGCUCACCAAAAGCUGCUAGACAUACUCUCAUAGUAUGCUGAAAAUAAUCAUUUAAUCAAACCACAAUUUUUAUCCUUCCCGAUAAAAAUAUUCGUGUGUGGAUACACGGUCGGCUUUAGCCAAAAAUAUAAUAUUUUCAUCUUUGAAAAUUCCACUAAUUUUAAUGGUCCACAAACUCAUUUUUAGCGCUAUAAACCGACGCUCUGUGAUUUUCCAAUUAAUUACUGAAAUUAAAUAAUUUUAUGAAUAAAUUCCCAAAAGCACAAUUCACACACAAUCGGCACAAAAUAACAGUCGAAUAAAUAAACAAAUUACACCAUUACAGUUAGCAUAAAAUUUCGGUCACCGGUUAUUCCGAUCUAAUUUUCGAAAAAUAAUUAAUUAAUUAAUCAAUUACGGAAAAUAAUUAAUAAAUGCAAUAAAUAGUAACUUAGGCCCGUAAACCCUAAUUGGAAGCCGAGACGAGCUCGGAAAAUUUCCGAACCACUCUAGAUACCAGAGCUUGUCUAGGCCCUAAUUGCACUAAAUUAUCCACCUAAUAUGCAUUGAUAAUUAAAUAAUUUACUAAACAGUUCUAAUUAUGCACUAAAUCAAGCUUAAUCUAAACUAAUCAACCCUUAAACGUCAUUAACUUAAUAAGUGACGAUUAGUGAGUUAAACUUACCUAAUUAACGAUUCGCUUGGAUCAAAACGAUGGGGACGUGGCGAGGAACGAAAAGCUCCAAAGCGGUGACGUCAACGGGGCAUGGAUCGGGCCUGAAAAUUGGCCUGAGGAAGCCCAUGACACUACUGGACUUGGCUGAGCUUCAUGAGGGCUUACAGCUUCAAGCGGGCUGAUUUCGAUGGAAGAAAGGGCAGCAAGGAGUCAAUGCCGAAAGUUGCUACAGCUGACUUCGGUUGAACACUUGCUGGGGACGUCUCGACUGCUGGCGUGGACUGGAGAAGAAAACCAAAAUUGCAGAAGCCGGAGUGGUGAGGAGAUGGGCGGCUGGCCGAAGGAAAGAGAGGGGUCGAGGGGGGUGUGUCGGCCAAAAGAAAAGAGAGGAUAAAUAUGACCAAAAGUCAAAGAAAUGGGAAACGUGAGUGGAAAAGAUGGCAGAGGGCUGUCGGCGGUUUUGGGGGGGGGAAUUCGUGCGAGAGAGAGAGAGAGAGAGAGAAAGGAAAAAGGAAGGGGGCAUGCGGCCAAGGGGGAGAAGGAAAAAUAAAAAUUAAAUUAAAUUCCUAAAAUCAAAAUUUCUUGGUCCCACUUGCUCUUGUUUAAUUCAAUUUGGUCCCCAAAAAUCCCCAUGCUAAAGUACAUGAUCCUCACUUGCUUUCUUGUAUCAAAUUUCCUUCAAACUGAGAGUUCUAGUAUGAACACCUAGUGGGGGUGAAUAGGUGUUUAAAAUAAAUCUUGGCAAAUAUAUGCGGAAUAAAAUAAACUUCAAACAAAUGAGUUAGGGAAGAGAAUAAGAACACAGAAAUUAUAGUGGUUCGGCUUAAUCCAAGCCUACGUCCACUCUCCCACGCUAACAGCCUUCUUGGCUGGAUUCCACUAUGCAAUCAACAAGAGAUUACAAUUUCGAGUGCAAACACUUAGUAGUAGAUCACACUAUCUCACUAAGUCACUCCUUUGGUAUUUGUCUCACGAUCACAAACGUUUAAGCUCUCUAAAGACAAGUGCAUGAUCGAAGGUCGCUCAGACUUUGGAAUUAUAAAUUCUACGCUCUAUCUCUUACUUGUUCAUCGGUCCAUGAUCUCCUUAAAUACUCCUCCACUUCCAAACUACCCGUUGGACAGUAUCCCAGAGAAUCGUCUUCCAAUAUACCCAUUGGACAGCUCUGUAUCUUGAAGAUUUGGUAGCCGUUGAGUGACAAAGGUAGAAUCCCAAAUUGAUUCCGAUCGCCCAUACAAACGAAAUCUUGGUUUCCAUAAGUAAAGCCUCUUCGUAUAGAAAGUUCUUGUCUUUAAGAUCCAAUCGUCAAUCAAAUAGAUUGAGUCAAUCAAAUCAAUCUUGAUGUGGAAUCCAAACCAGAUCACUAGCCGUUAUAUGAUUGGGCUUGAAUUACGUUCUGUUGAAUCUGGAUGUAAAGUCUGAUAGCAAUAGACUUUAUAAUCUGAGUCUGAGUGCAAUAGACUUUACAAUCUGGGUCUGAACAUAUUCUACUUCUGAACAGUUUUAGCUUUAAGGUCUGAAUACCCAAUUCAGCUUCAGUAUAGAGUCUGUCUUCUGGUUCAGCUUCAACAUAGAGUCUAUCUUUUGGUUCUUCAUUCACGUUCAGUCUGGAAUUUGUCAGAAUGAGCAGACUUCUGAUGUAGAACAGACUUUGACACUAAAGUCUAGCAGUCUUCAAACUUUGACACAGAAGUCUGGAAAUCUUCAUAAUAUACUUUGGACAUAUGUUACGUUCAGUCUUCUGGCUAUCUUCUGACUUUGAUAAUAUCCUUUACAUGUUCUAUUAUCUGCAUGGUCUAUUACUUAACCAUUAAACAUGUUAGUAGCCUUUGAUUUAUUUUGUCAUCUUCAAAACAUCAUAAAAGGCCCGAAUUAUUCAAUUGAAAAUGAGAUUCAAAAUCCAAGAUGUCACAAUAAAUAGCCGAAGAGGUAUCAAUAGAAAGGACCUUUUCCCAAAUCAACAAUCGAUCAUCUACUUUCAAUUGCUUUGUUUCUUUUAUUGAACUUUUAAUUUGAAUUGUAGUUUUACUUUUCUCCUUUUUUUCCUGCAUUUAUGUUUGCUUGUAAUUUAGAUCAGUUGCUUCCUUUCCGGCAUGACACAGAACCCAUAUUAAAUAAUAAAGUCGAAACUUUGCCCCUUUGGUGAAAGAUUUUGUCGAGGGAAGUUUCCUUGACAAACAUCUUUUUGGCAUGCCUAGUGGGACCAUUGUGUUCCGUUCAUAGGAAGGGUUAAUGGCAAAAACAAGAAAUUAGGAGAGUCACUCCUCGACCAUCAAGGGUAAUUUGUCACCGCAGCACGUUGGAGAGAGAACCACCUGUUCCAAGAUUUCUGGUUAAAAUGUAGACUAUAUUAAUGGUGUCAACAUGGGCAAUCAUUCUAGAGACAUUUCAUGAGAAUUAUCUGAAGAUCAGAGAAGAGAGUUGGCCCUUAAUUCAACGGUAAUGGUCACCAUGAGAAGGAUGUUCGAAGAGCAACAAAAUGAUAUAGCCAAUCAUAUAGCAAAAUGUCUUUGGUGAUGGAGACAUAUUUAUAAUAUAUGUAAGAUAAUUAGGUCGUGGUACUUUCAAUCGUGAUUUAAAUUGUUUUUCCCUGGACAUUUCUAUUUUCUUCUUCAUUCAUUGUCUUGUUUACCAAACUUCACGAUGAUCAUUAUUACUAUUUUAUCUUCGUCGAAAUUUUAGUGGACACAAAUUUCUCAGUAAAGUUUGAUAGACAACCUAUCCGAAGUAUGGGUAAAUGCAUUAGUUAUACAGAACAAAAAAUCGAAAGUGAAUUACCCAAACAAAGCACACAAUUAAGAUAGACCAAAAGACGCCACCGUUGCAUGCACAAUAGACGACAGAGAGGAUGUCUCUUCUAUAAAUAUAUUUGGAGAUUCAAAAUCACCAAUUGUCUAGCACGAUGUAGGACGUGAUGAAAUCGCUUAAAAGAUGUGCAUUGAGGAAAAUGUUAAAGCUAGAAACAUGCGAGUCUCUUGAAGACAAAGCCAGCGAUCGAACUGUAGUAACAGGAGAUCCGGUCCGGGACUUGAAGGCCAAGCCGGCGAGUAUGCCGUUCGUGGAUUGGUGGGUCAUAUCUUGAAGUAUGGUUGUGAGGAUUCAUUCUUCUUAUGUUUCUCAAUUUCACUCUUCAAGUUUCACAUAUUAUCGGUGAACACAAAAUAUAUAGCAAAUAAAAAUAUUAUAUUUAGCCGGGUGAGUAUUGGAGUGUCUAAAUUUUAAAUAUCUUUUUUUUUUCCUUAUUGAAUUUUGAGAUGUCAUUAAUGAUGAAUUAGUUCUCAGAGAUUAACCACUUUUGGUAUAGGUUUUUUUUUUGGCUCUGUAGGCUUAAGAGGAAAAAAUAAAGGGAAGAAAUAAGAUGAUUAAUUACACGGAAAUAACUAUCACAUCUUGCUAGGUGAGUAUAAGGGUGUCUACAUAUCAAAUCAUCUUUUUGUAUCUAUAGAAUUUUGACAAGUUGUCGAUGAUAGAUGAGAUGAUUAAGUAAUUUACCUAGUUUGGCAGUUGGAAGGGUUAAAACCCCUUCUUGAAACUAGCAUACUAGAUGUGUAAGCUCUUUAAUGACUCUUCUUCAAUGAGUGGUCUCAUUGCAUUGAGCUCAACUUGAUCACUGUCUUACUCUUGAAGUUUCGCCUUAGUGUCCCAGACACCCCUAUCCAGGCUUGGGCAUGAUAUUUUUUGCUUUGGUCACAACUCACCCACGCUUACUUUAAGUGCUACAGGUCGUAUUUAGGCAAAAUGGGAUUAGAGACAUACAUAAAAGCCAACAUUCCCACUCUUAAAGUCAUGCAAGAUUUACCUACAAGCACAAUAGCCCAUAUGGAGGUAAGUGGGAACAAUUAAAUAUCGGAAACCUAACAUCGCCACCUUGGCCUAAUACACCACUAUAGGUAGCCUCAUUGGAGGGUAAACAUGAUAUUAUUUGCUCUGGUCGUUGCUAUUGAUAUUCAAAUUUUUAUCAACGUUUUAGGUAUCCAUUUAUAUUACAAAAAUCUGAAAAUUUAUAAAAAAUAAUAAUAACAAAAAAAUAAAAAAGAUAUUAAAAAAAGCGAAAUGAAGUCGUGUGGGCCGGCCCCUUAGCAAAGUUUUCAGCCUUCUAAGCCCCCUCCCCUCCCUCCAUUAGUCCAACCCAUUUCUUUUAAUUCUUUGGGCCCAUCUCUUCAUUUCCUUUUUAGCCCAUCUCCUUUUGUCUUUCCUUGGCCCAUCAUAUAACCAAACACAAAGGAAGCCCAGCCCCAUCCUCCCUCUUCCCUCACGCGCGCUUCCCCCUCAACUUCCCCAGCGAGCACAGCGUCUGUGACGCAAGGAAGAAAGACAGGCCAAGCGUGCGUGCGUCUGUGAGCGAAGGAGGCGCGACAAGCCGUGACGAGAGCUGAGCCAGCACCUUCUAGAGCCGUGCUAGCUGGCGUGCGAGAGAAAUAACACAAAGAUUCGAUCGGUGAGGCGAGGGGAGCGUGCUGAUCCGAGAGAAAAUGAUGCUCGCCUCAAGAGGAUCCUGUUCGCAUAACAGGAGGAGAAGAGACGCCGCCGGAUUUCGGAGAGGGCGGCCGUCGAAGAGGCAAGUUGCAGAGAGAUAAGCUGAAGAGAGAUUCACGGGGGAGAAAGAGAGUCAGCCGAGAGCGAGAAGGAGAGGAUGGCUGGACGCUCGCUUGAAAAAGGAUUUGGCCAUCGAAGAGCUCGGCCGAAGGGAACCAAGGAGGAUAGGAAUCGGCACUACCCCUGCCAGGUCGUUUCUAUUCCGAUCGACCGUUAGAGUCGAUUACGUGUUCAGAAUCUCCUCAUCGCUCUGCUCCAUUGUUCGGGAUCUGUGUCCGUCCACCUUCGAACCGAGAUAUAGGAGAGCGAAGCUGUCUGAAGCAGGUUCGCGAGUUUCGUUUCAGUCGAAGGGAGAAUCCUCGGGAUUUUAUUGAUCUCGAUUAGUUGAAAUUAAAAAAUUAGUCUUGCCGAGAGUCCUUCAUGACCUGUUUGAUGUUUUGUGUAGAUGUCUUCAACGUUGAUUUGUUCCUGUUACUGGUCAAUCCGUGAGCAUUUUAGUAUGAGUCUCGGAAAAGUUAUUCCAUAAAAUUGGAAGAGAGUAGGAGUAGGAAUGGAAUAGCUAAUUUGUAGUUUGGUUUGUAUAAUGGAUUCAAAAAAUUCUCUGGUUUGUUUUGCCAUGAUAUUAGGGAGAAUAUGUUUGGAAUAGUGUAUACCCAAAAUACCCUUUGAUGAUAUAUAUCAAACUCUAAUUUCUUUUAUUAUCAUAUUUACAUAGGACAUAAACGAAAGCCUACUAUAAUUUCUAAAUAAUUGCAAUAUUUGAAUUUCUAAUGAAAGUAACCCUUAUUUUAUUAAUUGAUAUAAUUAAACCAUAAUAUAAUUACUAAAAAAAUAAAUGAACUAAUUAUUAAACAAUAGUAUAAUUACUAAAUAGAUAACUAUUAUUUUUAUAACUACCUUUCGAGUCAAGCCAAUACAAUAAGGCCAAGCUCAAGCUCAACUCCUAUUAGAUAUCCGAUGCUCGGAGUUCUGCUUGAGCUUUGCAACUCAAAUUUUUAAAGAAAAAAGUACCAAAAUAUUAUUAAUAAUAAACAAAGUAAUUGCAGAAAAAUAAUAAAACACGGAUCGACUGUCCAAUGAUAUAUUUCUGAAGCACCAAAAGUCCUCAAGGCUGGGGCCAACCAGUCCAUCAAAUGUUUGUCGGGCCACAGUCGGCCAAUUAGGCCCAUGGGCUUGAUUGGACCUACGCUCACAAUGGGGUUGGGCAACACGGCCAACAAGGCCCUAAAGUAAUUAUAACUUGAGUGUUUAAUCUAGCGUUAAUCAACAUAAAAUGCUACAAUGUACAUUUUCUCCAUCAAAGUAAAUUAGUGUGACAUGUAUCCAUAUCGUACUAAUAAAAAAGUCUAAGUUUAAGUUGUUUCUUUCCUUUCAUAUUCGGAAAUUGCUUUCCUUAAUUAUUAAAAGUCAAUAUCUAAGGGCCACAGUUCUAGAAUUUCAAACUUUACGUUCAUUAUUCAUUCCCUUUGAAUUAGACCACGCUUUUAUUUGACUUUCCGUGAUGGUGGCCAAAGAUAUCUCCUCGUCUUCUAAUUUAAUGUAGUUGGAGCACGCUCAUGACAACAACAUCACACCACAUUCCUGGAAAGUUAAAAUUCAAUGUAACAAUAAUGUCACUCGAAAUCGUCUAAUUAACCCCGUGUUCUAAGGAUGUUCGGAUCUUGAUUUGGCUAAUUAAUUGCAAUCUUAAGUAAUUUAAUAAGGAUUCCACCUAAUUUUGAUCCGAGUAAUGCGGGGAAUUGACCAUAAAUGAUGGGACAUUUGAACAAACAUAUGAAUAUGAUCCAAUCCAGAAAAAUAUCAGCUUUUUCCCGACGUCCAUCCCUAUCAGGAAAAUUUACUUAUGGUGGACAUAGAAAUGGUUCCUCGUAUUUUAUUUACGAAUUAAAGUUUUUGGAUGGUGGAUAUAAAGUAAGUAAUUUAGGCUAGAUUUCGUGUUGUGUACAGGCAAGAUAUUGACUUUCUACAGAAUACCCACCGCACAUUUGGAUGGAAUAUAGAUAUUAGAGCAUGCUUAUAUUUGACUUUGCGUGAUGGUGGCCAAAUAUAUCCUCAUCAAUCUAAUUUAAUAUAAUUGGAGCGCGUUCAUGACAACAUUACACUACAUUACUGGGAAAAUUAAAAUUCACUGUAAAACAAUAAUGUCACUUGAAAAUGUCAAAUUGACCCCAUGCUAUAAGGAUAUUCGGAUCUUAAUUUGGCUAGCAACUUGCAAUCUUAAGGAAUUUAAUAACGAUUCCACCUGAUUUUGAUCCGUGUAAUGCGGUGAAUUGAUGAUAGAUGAUGGGACAUUGGAACAAAAUAUGAAUAUGAUCCGAUCAACAAAAAGAUCAACUCCUUCCCAUUCCAUUGCAUUUGCCUUCUUUACAAGACUGUUGAUUUCUUUCUCAAUAUCAGCAAACUUCAUCUCAUCAGCAUUUCGAAUUUACUGGAACAACCAGACCCCACGUGAAAGAAAACGAAUUAAUUUAAACCACAAUCUCAUUAGAGUCUACGUACCUGAUAAUCAAAAGACAAAUCCCUAUACCUGCCUUGCUUAGAGAAAAAUAUCAUGGCAAGGAUCGCAAAUUUCUAUAGCUAUUCAGUCAUUUUCUGGAGACAAAGGAUGGAAAUAGUUUCUUACCUUUACCAAAAAAAAAAAAGAGAGAGAUGGAAAUAGCAUAAUCUCGCCCCUCGAUCAUCAAAUAUCUCGAUCAGUAGUGUUUUAGGGGGGAAAAGGGUUGUUGAUGCUAGAAAAUCGCGACAUUAGCUUAUCACUUCUCACAUUUAAUGUCCUUGGAAUGAUGGAGGCAUCCAAAAUCAAAGAAUGAGAAUCGUCGCUCUAAAUCCUUGGUCUCCAUCUUGGUGAUUUUCUACAGCUUAGGAAGACCGCUGGUGGAAAUCAUAAUAUGUUUAAGAAACAUUGAUGAGAGUGUAAGACAAGUUUAAACCAGGAGCUUGUGCUCCAUAUUAGUCGUUGCUAAGCAAAUGAAAGGAAACCUCUUCGUCAUGGUGAGAGCAAGGGUGAAUCACUACUUGUCAAAGCAUGAAGAUCUACGUUCUUUAGCCCAUAUAGAGAAGAAAGAAUAAAUAAAAGGGAAAAAUCCUCAAAAAUCCCAAACUUCACCCAUGUGAUAUAUUUAUCCAAUUCUUUUUUUUUUUUGGUGACUCCAAAAAUCUUAAACUUAUAUUUCUAUGACAUAUUUACCUCAAACCUUUUUUUUUGUGAUACCAAAAUCCCCAAACUUUUUUUUUGUGACACCAAAUUUUAAGGAUAAAUGUGGCAUAUGAAUACAAAAUUAUGAUUUUUUAUAUCAUAAGAAGAAGUUUGGGAUAGAUAUGUCCCACUAUAUAAAUUUGGGGAUAAAUAUGUUACAUAAAUACAAAUUUGGGAUUCUUAUUGUAAAAAAAAAAGUUUGGUGUUAAUAUGUCACAGUGAACAUAAUUUAAGAUUUUUGGUGAUUUUUUUUUUCUUUUAAUAAAACAAGCACUUAAUAGUGGGCAACAUACGCAAUGUGAUUGCAAGCAUGGGAUAGAGACUCGAUGCUGGAUGUUUUUUGGUCAUACGGAUCAACCGUCCAAAAUCGACUUAUUAUUCUAAAGGGUUUUCCUUCAUCUUGGACGUCACAUAGGAAUUUUUACACUAGGAAGAAGCUGAGAUGGUCUAAAGGUUUAAUUCAACCAUUGAGGUUUAAUUAAACCAUCCUUUGAAGAUAUGAUACUGGAAAAAAAAAAUCCGCAUAUCAUAAAAUGAAAAGUACCCGGACUCUAUAAAAAAAACACCCGGACUCUCAAAAAACCAGUACUCUUCCCUCAGUCUCUCGCCCUCGCCAAUCGGUCACCCCAAGCCUCCGCCACCUCGCCGCUACAUCACAGUCGACAUCGUAUCCCCUUCCCGUGCCGUCACCCCUCGCCGUCAACGUCGUAUCCCUUCUCGUGCCAUCACCUGUCGCCGUCGAGCCCCCCGGCCAUCGCCUGCGCCGAUCGUUUCGCAUCCCGUCUCGGCCAAGCCACCAUCUCUGUCCCCGACUCUCUCUCCUCGAGGCAGCCUCGCUCGCGCGGCCGUGGGCAACACCAGAUUUGAAGGUGAAAAGUGAUGCACAGCUCUCUCUCUCUCUCUCUCUCUCUCUCUCUCUCUCUCUCUCUGUCUCUCUCUCUCUCUCUCUCCUUCCGUGUUUCCUCUUCGAAGCAAUUAUUUUGUCGAUCUGAGAAGGAAGGCUGCAGGUAACUUCCAGGCGAACGCAGCGAAAGUGAGAGAUCUCUCUCCGUUGCGUCAUCAAGUUGCUACGUGGAUCAGACUCGGACUUCUCAAGUCACCGGGCAGACCCAAUUCGGAGAUCCAUUUCUGCAUCGUCCUCACAGAAUGAAGAGAAAGAGGGAGGAAAAAGAGACGGCAACAGCAGCUUCAACAAGCAGUAGCCGUGAUGAUGGAUCGGGGAGUGGCUACGAGGUGUUCCUGAAUUUCAGAGGUCCCGACACCCGUUUAACCAUGGCUGAUUGUCUCUACAAUGGCCUGAUUGGUGCAGGGAUCCGUGCUUUCAAAGACAAUGAAGAGCUCCGAUUUGGCGAAGAGAUCGAAGGUGGCCUCUUACAAGCGAUCAAUGACUCUAGAAUUUACAUCCCGAUAUUCUCCAAGGACUACGCUUCAAGUAAGUGGUGCCUUCGUGAAGUGGCACGCAUAGUGGAGCUAGUGAGAGCUAACAAUGAGAAAGUGAUCCUCCCUAUAUUUUACGACGUGGAUGUGGAUGAUGUCAAGCUUAAGACUAAGUUAUAUCGGAAAGCCCUUCGGAAACACAAGAGCAACUACGGGAAGGAUUUAGUAAAGAAGUGGAAGAAGGCGUUAAGAGAGGUUGCUAGUCAUAGAGGAAGGAAGCUAAAAGAUCACGGGUAUUAUUUGCUUCUCCAUUGACUUUAUUUUCUUUGUUGAAAUUUUCGAUUUCUCGUUCCUUUAAAGAAUAGUUCGUCGAUUGCUACUGUCCAACCUUGUGCAACAUAUGUUUCCAUUUGACGCAAUGAGGGAGCUAGAAAUUUUGCUCAGAGGGCGAGGCUUCUUGCACAAAUUGACUUUUCACUUUUUUAAUAUCAAAUUUUUAUAACAAUUAAAGUUAAGGCAUAGAAACUUAAUUAAUUAAUAUAUAAUGCAAAAAAAAACCAAGAUAUCCGUGAAGAUCUAAGAUGUGAUAAAAUAGUAAGACCAUAUAUUUGUGAAAAAUAAAAAAUCUAAGUUUCUUAACUUCAAUUGCAUUGCGUAUAUGAAUUUAAGGACUUUUGGUGUAAAUUCCUUGACCUAUGCCUAUAAUGUUUUCCUGAAAAAUUAGAUUGAGUUUGAUGUUAGAUCUUUUUGUUUUUGUUACAUUAAGUAAGCAUAGAGAAAUUAUAGCAUAGACUUAGUCUAUCGCAGUCCAUACGAUAUCCAAAAACUUACGGCCAAGAGGAAAAAACUGAUCCUUGUGGUUUUGGUUUCAGCCCUAGGGAAUUCAUAUGCUUUGCUGUUGUUUUCCUUGAAAUAACCGGCUAAUUACGGUCGCACCACCGAGUCACACAAAAAUAAUGGAGAUUUUUAUGAUGAUAGUUUCAUAACCCCAUAAGAGGAUACUAUAGGUCAUGGUUUUCUUAUUUGGUUUGAGUAUACAAGACCGAACAUUGCAAAGAUCUUUGUAUGCCAUUAUCCAAAAGAACCCAAAAAAAAAGGAUCUCUGUAAGUGUUAGAGGUUCAAUCUUCCUGUAUUUCUUAUUAGAGUAAUUCUUGAUUAAUUUGCAAAGGAUUCACUUAGGUUCAGGUGUGUUAUCAAUCUUGGGCUUUUGUUUUCAUUGUGGUGGGGCAGGUAUCAUAGGCUCCUCUAGUGGCCAGUUGUACAUAGACAAGAUCUGCAACCUUAAACUGAAUAUUCUUCUAUAGUGAUUUAUAGUAGAAUGCUAAAACAUAAAAAUUGGUUCUUGCUGUUGCUUUAAACAUGGACCUAUUCAUGGCCUCAUGUCUUGAUUAACCAAAAAUUCACCUAAGGGACUUCCAAGUAGUUGUAGUUAUGGUUGGAGAAAUCUAAAAGCCUCUAGAAAAUGGAUAAGUACUUAAACAAUUGUAAGUUACCUUGAGAUAUGGAGCUACCCUCUAUCCUAGUUUGCAAUAGUUUUUCUAUAAACCCUAGCCGUUACUCUCUGCUUACUUACAUCCUUCUUCAUUAAACCUUACCGAUUCUAUCUUUCAUUAAACGCAUUAAUAGUUUCAAUCCUCAAGAACGGGAAGGGCUAUCCUAUUACUGCCAUGCCCAACAGGCUAUCCUAUUACUGCCCAUGCCCAACUUAUGUCGUGCAACAUUCUCAAGGAAGCAAUUGUUUUGAGAAAAAUUUUCCUAAAAAAAAUUGCCUCAUCCAAGGUAGGCCACUGUAGGGCGCAGAUUUCCCAUGUUCCAUGCCCAUCCAUAAUUUUAAAGUUAUCGGUUUUUAUAUGAAAUUAUCAACUUUAAUUCGUGUCUAAACAACUUCUUUUUCCAUUGUUUUACAAACAAGUUUUAGCUUACCGGCUUUUAUGUGAAUCAUUUACUAAGUUUAUUAGAUUGUUUGCCAAUUUACAACUUCUGUAAAACUCACCAUAUUGUUUACUCCACAUUUCAAAAUUACCAAAUUUUGUACCGAAUUACUAACUCUAAUAUGAUUGUCAUAUUAACUAAUCUCUAAUUAAGUUAAUAACUAGUUUAAUUCUACCCAUUCUUAUUUGAGCUACUUAUCAGUAGUUAUUAUUUGUUUCAAAACUACCAACCUUCAUAAAACUUUCGUUAAUAACGCACAACCUUUUAUUUGCACUGGUUAUGAACAUCAUUAGGGAACGAAAUCUGUUUUUGAAUUACCAAUCCUAAGUUGAGUUACUCACCAGUUUAUUCUGAUUAAAGUACCAACUAGUUUGCCCUUACCAAAAUUAUUCGGAGAAAUGUUUGUUGGUAACUCGAAUCAAGGUUGAUAUAUAUUCCAGAAAAUCUUCCUCAUUUUCGGUUAGUAUUCUACUCUAUCGGUACAUUAAGAAAAAUGCUUUUGAGAUAGUAUUCUUGUUUCUGAUUUUCAAGGCAACUGCGAGUGAGAUUUUUUCUUUUCCGUUAACCUUCAAACUCAUCCCUAUUGCUUGAAGAGAUUAACAAGACCGAGUUUACCGAGGACUUGAUAUUUAGCCAAACUUCUAGAGGUCUCGUUAUUAGCUGUGUGUGACAAGAAGAAACCAACCGGUGUGAAAAAGUAUAAAAUGAAGUGGAGGCAUCACUAUCAAAUUAGUCCUAAAUUUAUUAUGCAUGACAUUUGAGUACUAGACAUUUUAAUUUUGUCAAUGUGGUCAUAGGUAUUUGCAUGAAAUUUUAAUGUUAUCUUUCUAUCCAAUUGCCAUGAGAAAUUACUAACAUGACGUCCAUUCAUUGCCGUUGUCCUAUGUGGCAAGCUGACAUGGACAAUUUUACUUGAAAUGACAUCUUGUAGAUUGCCACUUUAGCAAUUUUCGAUGGACAUUGACUGGAAGGACUACAUUGAAAUUUUGUAUAAAGGUUUAAGACAAAAUUAUUGAAAUUGAAAAGUUUAUGACUGAAUUAACAUUUGUACAAUAAAUUUAAGACUCAUUUCAUAAUUUUCCCAUAAAAUGGAACAAAGGUCCACAACCAAUUCCAACACAAUGACUCACGGCACUAGUUAGUCACAAUUUGCCAAAGUAACUUCUAAUUGAAGCCCAAUUAGACCCUUGUCACGAAAUAACCUUUUCACAUCAUUGACUAAACCAAAGAACCUUGAUAGCAUUAGCUUCAACCACGAAUAAAGUCCCUCCUCCUCCUCCUCUCUUGAAAACAUCUAUUUUUUUUUUCAAAUGGCUCACAGCUUGAGAGAUCGCUUUUUUGUGUCUUCUGUUUAAGCAAUUAUUUUGAACUUGAUGAUAACCUUCUAGUGCCACGUAAUGUGUGCACAAUUUCCAUAUAUAUGGUUUUUCAAUCUGAGAUGAUUGCAUGUUAUGCAUGUGGCAGCCUAUAUGAACUAAUGAAUCUCACAGUCAAAGAGGUUUCUAGUUUGUUAUGGACAAGAAGGACAGGUGUGCCUGAUCAUUUGGUGGGAAUUAAAGAUCGAGCGGAAGAAAUCUUGAAGCGGUUAGAUCUAGAAGCUUUUGAUGUACGGUUUAUCGUGAUUUAUGGUAUGGGUGGCAUUGGAAAAACGACACUAGCUGAGGCUGUCUUCAGACAAAUCUCCCCUCAGUUUCAGAGACAUUGUGUCUUUCUUAAGGAUGUUUGGACUCAUGAUAUAAUAAACUUACAAAAGAAAUUGUUGUCCGACAUUUUCCAUUUGAGUUGCACAAACUUAUCCUUCAUUGAUGAAGGCGCUGACAUGAUCAAGACGAGAUUUCAUGACAAGAAAGUUCUCAUUGUUCUUGAUGACAUAGACAAUCGAGACCAAAUCAUGAGACUUGCCGGUGAGCCUAACUGGUUUGGUGGGGGUAGUAGAAUCAUCAUAACAACAAGAAAUAUUGAAUUCCUGGUAAAGGAAGGUGAGGAUGACAAUCUCCCAAUCUCUAAUAGCAGACAAUUUUCAUUCUAUGAUAUGCCGGAGAUGAAUUCACAUGAUGCUCUUCAACUUUUCUGUGAGCGUGCCCUGGGACGUGCCAAGCCUCCGCCUAGUUACAUGGAUAUCACAAAAAAGCUAGUCAAUGCAUUAGGAGGACUUCCAUUGGCUCUCAAUGUCAUAGGUUCCACACUCCAGGGAAAAUGCCAAAGAACAUGGGAAGACACCUUAUGUAAGUUAAAGAAGGUGAUGAAUGCGCAUGUCAAGAAGAAGUUGAUGAUAAGCUACGAAGCAUUGGAAAUUAAUCAACGGCAAAUUUUUCUUGAUAUCGCAUGUUUCUGCUUCAACAAAGAGAAAACAACCGCAGUUAAAUAUUGGGACGCAAUUUUUGGGUAUCCGACUGAAAUCGAGGUUAAUAUCCUCAAACAUAUGUCUCUAAUAAAAAUAUCCUAUGAUAAUAAACUAUGGAUGCACGACCAACUUAGAGACCUUGGAAGGAGUAUCGUCCAUCCAGAAAGUGGCGAAAUCCAUAUGAAGGGUAGCAGAUUGUGGUCUCCCAACGAUGCCUUUCAUGUAGUGCAGACAGAAACGGUAAUCUUGACCUCUAAAUGUUUUCCAGUAAAUGCAUUAGCAUCACCACCUUUUUAUCUAAUUUCAAGUCAAGGUGACAUAUGUACUCAUUGGUUGCUACUUUUUUUUUCCAGGGAACCAAAGACACAGUGGCCCUCAAUCUCGGUACACCAAGCCCAAAUAAGACGUACAGAUUUAAGCGUGAGCAAUUUAUGGGCUUGGUCAACCUUAGGUUCCUUCAAUUGGACCAUGGAAAUUUUGAAGGAGACUUUAAGAAUGUUUUCUUUAAUCUGAGAUGGCUCUCUUGGAGCAAUUGCCCUUCAAAAUUCCGAGCUAGCAACUUUGGGUUGAAGAACUUAACGAUUCUCACGUUAUCUGGGAAUAACGUUACUGAAGAUUGGGGAGGAUGGUGUCAAAUCAUGGUAUGAUCUCACAACAUCCUUUUGCAUUAUAUUCACUCUUCCUAUUUUAUGAGUGUCUACUCAAUUACUUUAUAGGUAGCAGAACAAUUGAAAAUCCUACAGCUCGAGGACUGUCCAUUCCUUAGAAAGAUGCCCAAGUUCUCCACAAUCUCAAAGCUGGAGAGAUUGAUUCUUAGAUGCGUUCGACUAAGAAAGAUUGACAAGUCCAUCAGCAAUCUACAAAAUCUUGAUUACCUAGAGAUAAAGAGUGAAGCUAUUGAGUCGCCACCAGAGUCCAUCGGCGGUCUAAAAUCUUUGACGGUGCUAAGAAUAGAGCAGACACCCUCAAGGAAGCCUCACUCGAUUGGCAAUUUAGCAAAGGUGAAGUCUCUAAUCUUGCCACACCAAGAACAUCAAAAGCUUCCCGACUCUAUCGGACAAUUGGAGUCACUACUUGAGCUAAAUGUCCAAUAUUUAAAAAUUAGUGAAUUACCUCAUUCUAUUGGAAAUCUUGAAAGGUCAAAAGUUUUACGCAUCUGGAAUUCCUAUCUAGAAAAGCUACCAAACUCGAUUAGGAGGCUCCAAUCAUUGGUCAAGUUGGAUUUGAGAGAUUCAAGAAUCGAGAGCUUACCUGAUUGUAUUGGAAAUCUCAAAAAGUUGAAGGUACUAAAUCUCCAUGAUAGUUGCAUAAGUGAACUUCCAAAAACCAUAGGAAUGUUGGAAAAUCUAGAAGAGUUAGAUGCCUCCUCUGAACACCUGGUGGGGGAAAUUCCAAAUGAAAUCGGGGCACUAUCCUCAUUGAAAUAUCUAGACUUAUGCAACGGUCGCUUUAGUGGAUUGCCCACAACGAUCAAUCAGCUUACAAAUCUCCAACGACUUAAUUUAUGGCACUGUAAUUCAAUCCAACAGCUGCCGGAGCUUCCCAAGAGUCUAAAGUUUUUAACCCUUACAUCGAAUUCGCUGACCACGAUCCCCGACUGCUUAAACCUAACCAAUUUAGUUGACCUUAUGAUAAUUGGAUAUUCAAUUGAAGAACCCAACAUAGAGGGGAUCGUGAGACUACCUGCUCUGGAAAAAAUGGUCCUCCGCGUUGGAAAAAUGGCCUUGCCUCCAAUUGAUUUUAGUUCCCUCUCUCAACUACAAUGCCUCACCAUAAAUUAUGAUGAGCCCCAAUCUCUUAUUGGGCUCCCAUCCGGCCUUCAAUAUUUGUGGUUAUGCGAUGUCGAGUCACCGAUAGAUUGGUCAAUCUUUUCCAACUUGGAGAAUUUGUCGAACUUGUAUAUUGUUCGAUAUUCGCUGAGAGAGAUUCGAUUCGAGGUGCUUGGAGAGCUACGGAAAUUCAAACAAUUGCAGAUGCUUGAUUGUCCAUUGCUCAAGACGCUGCCCGUUCUUCCUUGUUUGAAGGAGAUCCAGUUUUUUUCCCUGUGCCAAUUGCCUCAACUAAUUGAGAUUCAGGGUUUGGGAGAAUUGAAAUCUUUACAGGAUUUGUCUAUCUGGUUUUGCAAUUCAAUCAAAAGGUUAAACGAAUCUGAUCUUUCUAAUCUACAAAAUCUGAAAUAUUUGUGGUUCUGGGGAUGUGAAUCAUUGGAGAGGGUGCUGGGUGUGCCAAAAUCUUGUCAACUCAUUGUCGAUGAUUGCCCGAGGUUCAAUGGAGAUGGAUAAGAUAUGUAUCAUUUGAUUGGCAAAGAUAGUCGAUGAUGGUAAGUCCAUAAAACUAGCGUUUGUUUUUUGUUGUGUCCUAUUUUGUGAGUUUUCCUUCAACUAAACUUUCAUCUUGGUUUUGGAAACACCUCUUGCAUUCGUUCAUCCUGUUGUCUCUCAAGGAAAAUCCUCUUCCAUGUAUCAUGAACGUGUGAUACUUUGACUUGCCUCGACUUGAUGAUGGUGAUACUUAGCUGGUUUACGUUGUGCACUAGUAGAACGUCGGAAUUGACAUGCUUUGCGGCACCUAUUUUGCUUAGAAAAAAAUGGAUAAAGUGGAAGGGAACUUUUAGAUAGUAAGCACACUAAAGAUGCUGAUGAAUGCUAGGUUUUGUUGUAAGGCUGAGGUGGUUGAGACUUGAGAGUACUGGUCUCACCUUAUGGAGUGUUUUUAAUAUAAGUAAAGAACAAUCAUGAUUUGUGAGGACUAAAAUAAAGGAAUUAAUGCUUGGUUAGUGGAAGAGUGAAUCGUUGAUACCUAUUAUGCAAUAUGAGUGAUUUAGUUAUUUCCUUCAUGAAGAAUUGGAGGUGUUUUUCUGGUUACUUAUGAACUGAAGUGGAGAAGCUUCAAGUCUUGAGUCAUGGUGUGAUUUGUGAACUAUCUUUCUUCAUUCUAGUAUUUAGCCAUUUAUGCGUGAAAUUCGUGCUGUGAGACAAUUGAUAUUGGAGUAAACUUGUCGAUAUGGUCAAACCACCAUUUCUUUGAAGACUAGGUUUAGUUGCAUCGAGUUGUGCAUUAUGCAAUUUCUGGUGUUAGGAAAGAGCACAUUUGUGUUGUUGAAGACUAGGGUUUGUUUAUUCUUUAAGUUGACUUAUUGCACCUUUCCUCAUCUCUCUCUCCCUCUUUUUAUGCUUAUAAUGUGGUUACUGUUAACUUGUUAAAUAAACUUGUUUGUUCUUUGUGUCUAUCAUUUUUACAUUUACUGAUAAAACAUUUUUGCACAAGCUCCUCCAAGACUAUGGUGAAAUGUUCUUUUACAUGGAUGUCUAGGCUUUGGCAAGACAUAUUGUCGAUGCUACAGCAACGACUUGUUCUCUUCAAUCCAUAUCAGAAAAAGGGCGAGCUGUGGCUAAGUACACUAGUACAUUUUAGCUAUCUGUAAGAGGCUUCUUUUCAACUACAUUGAUGUUUAUUAAGUUCCCUUAUGCAAUCUUCUAUUGAACUCUGUUAUUUCCAUACAUUUCACAAUUUUGUGCUUUCUUCUUUUGCUUUGGAUGCAUUUAAUAGAGGUCCCUUCAUCUAUGCCAAUAGUCGAUAUAUGAAACUAGCAGCAGCAAUGAGGAUCCUACCACCGCAGCCAAGAUGUUCUAAUUAUAUUAUUUUAAACAAUAGCAAUGAGGAUUCUCCCAUAAUGAAGAGGCCAAGUUAAAAUGGUUCUUGAGUUUUCUCAUGCAUGAAUGAGAGAAUCCUCUAUGAAGAUGAAAAGAAAGAUUAAGAUGUAAGACAUUUGAAGUUUUUCUCUACUAGAAAUUUGAAAUUUGUGAUCAAAUGUCUAUUGGAUCAUCUGUUAUGUAAAUUGACAGCAUUGAUUUUGUGAGCAAACUAGAGGAAUUUUGAAUAUUUGAGAGUAAUGGCAAAUUUAAAAUUACAGGUUUGGAUAUAUUCGCGAAGGUAACGGCUGUAGCACCUUGCCUUCACUUUUUUCAUGAAUUUGAUUACAUUGUACUGAAGAGGGAGCAUGAUAGUACGGGGGUCACUGACCAUGUCAUCAAUCAGUUAGUUUCUUGCGUUCAAUGGCACUUAUAAAGUGGUCAUGUGAAAUAUAGUUGAUGGUAUGACUCACUAAUGAUAUGUUAUUCAUUGGUGCAAUUUUUUACUGAAUCAAAUGGUGUUGAAGUUUUAAGCGGUGUGUUUGUGUCGAUAGGGACAAGGUAAUAAUUUCUUCUUACAUGGUAACAAAAAGUACUCUCUUCCAUAGCACACUAACCGUAAAUUGUUGUUGGAAAUUGCAUGGUCAUUAUGAAUGCUUUGCCAAAAAAUUUCUAUGAAGCAUUUAAUAUGGAGACUAUGUAAUAACCUUCAAGAAAGACUAUAAAAUGAUAGACAUGACUUUUCCUUGAUUUAGAGUUGUUUAACUUUGGAUACACAAUAUUUGAUAAACUACAUAUGUACCAAAGAAGGUGACAAAUGGCUAGAUUAAUUGAAUUACUUUUCAGUUGCUAAAGUAGCUUACAAGAAGUGUAUUAAACUGGUCUUGAACCUCUUCAACAGCUUCAACAGAUGUCGAUCAUUUCAGUUUUGAGUGUGCCAAAAUCUUGUGAACUCAUCAUCAUUGACUGCCCAAAGCUCAAUAGAGAUGGAUAAGGUAUGUAUCAUUUGAUUGACAAAGAUAGUUGAUGAUGGUAAGUGUCACGCCCCGAUCCUUUUGGGCACGCACACAUCCUUCUACUUGGUCGAUUUUUAUAAUGCGAUAUCCCAGGACUAAUUAUCGCCGACCCUUUCGUUUAUUAAGCACAUGCGGAAGCCAUUUUAAAUCCCCAGACAAUAAAACAAUGGGAUAGAAAAGUAAGGCAAUAUUUCUCAUAUUGAAAUCCUUGACCAAACCUUUAUACAUGGCAUAACUCAAAGUCUAUUCACUAAACAUGAUUAAGAAAAGAGGAUAGGAUCUUAGUUCUCAUCCAGGUCGUACUCGGACCAUCAUCGAGGUUCUCCUCCAGACACUCCUCUUCGGUUUCUUUCUCCUCAGGCUCCUCAUCAGGGUCCUGAAAUGUUGUCCCACAACCGGGAUGAGACUAUGUCUCAGCAAGUUCUACCCCACUAAGACUCGAUUAGGAAACCAAUAUGCUAACCGGGCUGCCUAUACACGCACGGGUCAGAGGACUUACCUUGGCCUCAUAUUCCACCUGCAUAUUAGCACAAUUCAAUAGGCACCAAAGCAAUUACAUCACAGAUCAAUAUCUCGAUCCAUCGACCUAGUCGAUUUCAUGUCAAUUCGACUAUUCCCCAGUCGUUUCCCUUAUUCAGUCUCAAAUCAUACCCAUGACUUCACGAGCAUAGUCUACCAAAUUUCUUGGCAACAAAUUACAGUCCCAAAGAACACGACCUAUCUUUAGGUAGCAUAUUACGGCCUUAUCAGGCGCGACCUUUAAUGGUGGCAAAUUAUGGCCUUAUCAGGCGCGACCUUUAAUGGUGGCAGAUUACGGCCUUAUCAGGCGCGACCCAUAUCGGGUGGCAGAUUACGGCCUUAUCAGGCGCGACCCAUAUUAGGUGGCAGAUUACGGCCCAACGGGCGCGACCCAUAUUAGGUGGCAAUUUACGGCCCAACGGGUGCGACCGAUUCCAAAUUCAGUGGCAGAACUCGGCCAUACUCACAACCUUUCACAGUCAAAUUCUAAUUGAAUACCGACACUGAUCGAUUUUGGGAUAAUUCCUCAAAUUGCACAAUUAAUUCAAUUUAGCACAAUGUAGAGCUCAAAUAAAUAAACGGACUGCACCAUGACAAUCAGCACCAAAUUUCGAUCGUCGGCUAUCAUCGCCUAAUUUCCGAAAAAUAAAUAAUUAAAUAAUUAAUUUCGAAAUUAAUAAUUAAAUACUAAAUAUCCAAUUUAGGCCCGUAAUGCCUAACUGAAGCCCAAUAAGGGUCGGGAAAAAUCCCGAGAUGCAUUCAAUAAAUAAUAGUACGUCUCUACUUGCUAAUGACUAAGUCUAACCACCUAACAUGCAUCACUAAGUCACUAAUUUAUUUUUUCUAAACUAAUCUAACCACCUAAUUGCACUUAAUUAAAUCUAAUCAACCCUUAAGCAUCAUUAAUUUACUAAGCGAGGAUUAGUGAGAUUACUCACUUGAUUAAAAGCGGAGACCGGGACACCGCGACGGUUACGCGACGGCGGCCGAAAUCGGACUUUCGACAACACCGGCGGGCUUGGACCGGGCCUUAAACUUGGCCCAACAAAUCUCAGCCCAACUAAGAUUUGUUCUCGUACUGGACUGGGCUCGCUCUUGGACUUGGGCUUGGCUGCGAUUGGGCCUGAUCUGGGCUUCAAGAUGGGCUGGCUUUGCGGGCUUCAAAACCACGCUGGACUCCUUGGGGCUGAAAUAAAACUGAACUGGGCCUGUCUUUGCUGGGCCCAAAAGAAAUUCACUGAGCUUGGAGACUGCUGGACUUGCAUUGGGCCAUUGAUGCGGCUGAUCGAGGCCUAGGAUUGAUGGGCUUCGAAGACUAAAUCCCUAUGGGCUCAAAAUGCGAACUGCGAGGGAAAUGGACGCAGGCUUCUUCGGUCCUCGUGGCAGCUCGACGGAUGAUGCUUCGUUUGCUUGAUUCGCUGACUCGGUGAAUUCCACACGGUUAGAUGAAGGCCGCGAGCUGGGUAGACCGAAGCUGAGAAAGACGCAUGGAUGCUUGGACGGCAGAGCUGGCGUGCGGUCAACGACGAAGGAGUUCGCUGGUGUCAAGCUGCGGGCUCUGCUGCUGCUUCGGUUGACUGCUUGGACGCGUGGGCGAGGGCAUCAAGCGGUCAACCAAGAGCUUCAAUUGAAGCUGUUGUUGACCGAACCAGGCGUACACACUGCCAAGUGGCAGCAAGCUCGGCAGAAGAUGGAGCUGGUGUCGUUGCUUGCGGAGAAGACCGUUCGGUGGAUGGGCAGAUGUUGAUGGAGAUGAUGAUGCUGUGCGACUUCGGUGAGUGGGGGGCUUCGUGGAGUCAACACCUGGGGCAGCUUGACGAAUUUUAUUGAAGAUUGACCAAGGAAAAUUUAUGGAGCAGCAGGUGGUGGAAGAAACCAGCGAAAAUGGAGUGGCAGGUUCGGUCUUCGGCAGAGACGGAAGGAGCUGACUGCUAAGGAAAUAAAAGAACGGCCGCAGGGAAAUUUGUAAGUGCUGAUUUCGUCCAGAGAAGAGGAGACCGACGUGCGAAUGAAGAUGGGAUCCGUUUAGCG
RNAcentral lists this long non-coding RNA (76915 nucleotides) under Eucalyptus grandis. RNAcentral describes it as "long non-coding RNA (EGRA_LNC002411)". The record is from RNAcentral. Lineage: Eukaryota; Viridiplantae; Streptophyta; Magnoliopsida; Myrtales; Myrtaceae.